This is a non-coding RNA of Callithrix jacchus (white-tufted-ear marmoset), 62428 nucleotides long. The record is from RefSeq and is a predicted model, not a curated record. NCBI's taxonomy places the organism in Eukaryota, Metazoa, Chordata, Mammalia, Primates, Cebidae.
AAGGCAGGUCACUGUCCUCCAGAGGCCCACAGCCUACACCCCACCAUUUCCCCACUAGUUUGGGAUCCUCCAAACUAGUCAUGCCUCAGAAUCACCCAGGAGAUACUUUAGAUUAAAAGUACUAUUAAACAAAUUCCUGGCCUUACCUCCAUUUGUAGAAUUAAAACACUAACAUUUCUCUCAGUCCUCUCAACCCUAUCUUCAUGGUUAUGAUGAUCUUUGGGCUUUUCAAACAUGUUGAUGCCAGGGUACUACCCCAGGCAGACUUAGUCUCAGGGAAGGACCUAGACACUGAUAGAUGUUGAAGUCCCCUAGGUGGUUUUUGUUUUUGUUUUUCUUUUUUUUUGAGACAGGCCUCGCUUUGUCACCCAGGCUGGAAUAUAGUUGCAUGAUCACAGCCCACUGCAGCCUUGACCCCCAGGCUCAGACUAUCCUCCCUCACCCUCCCAAGUAGCUGGGACUAUAGGCAUGUGUCAACAUGCCUGGCUUAUUUUUUAAUCUUUUGUAGAAACGGGGACCCACUAUGUUGCCCAGGCUGGUCUUGAACUCCUGGGCUCAAGUGAUCCUCCCGCCUCAGCCUCCCAAAGUGUUGGGAUUACAGGUAUGAGCUACCACGCUCAGCCCCCCAGGUCCUUCUGAUGCAGGUUGCAUCUGGCUGUAUCAACAGAGGGGUUUUAGGUAUGCAGUAAGCAUUAGGCUGGGAUGUUCACUGCCCCACACUCCUCACCUGUAUGCAUUUGCUGUAGAACCACCAUGCAUCAGGCCCUCCUGGGCAUGGUGCUGUGUUUCAGUCUCUAGCUGAUCCCAUCCUUCUUCCUUGCCUCCUUUGUAGUCUCAUCACUUCUGCUCUGCCCCCUGGGCAAAUGACCCUGAGAACUGUCUCCAGCAGUGACCUGUCCAGACCCAGCUCUGAAGUUCCCACUGGGCAUUUCUGUUGGCAUGGUGAACCCGAGUCAGUCCCGGGCCAUGCUUCUCCCUGCAGGUUGGGUUACAGAUUCCAGUGUUCCUCUGCUGUUCUUCCUCCCACAGUCCUUUUGGUCCUGAGUCCUGCCACCUUCACCCUUGUGGUCCCCUGCAGUGCCCGGCUUCUCUGGUCACGCUGAUGCUAGCCUCAUUCAGCCUGCACCGUCUUGUCCACGGGCUGUCUCACAAUGCUCUCAGUUGGUUUCUGCCUCCUCAGAUUGUCUUUGUCUAGUCAUCCUUCCCCAGCUGCUGAAGCAUAGGUUGGCUCACAGAACGUGUGCCACUAAAAACGUGAGAGGGCUUCUUGGCAAAGACAGGGCAGUGCACAUCUCCCCAUCUGCCCACACCUGCCUUCCCAGCUGCCACGUCCUCCUGCCAUACUGAGCCUGCUCACUGGGCCCUCUGCGCUCUGUAUCCUGGGCCUCACCAUGUGGUCCAGCUGUCCAUCUGCCUUCUCCUCUGGUUUGCUGAUCUGUCCCUUCAGUUCUGGUUUAUAGGUCACCCUACAAGCUUCCUCUAAUGGCUUUGGCCAAAUCUCCCAUUCCCCAGGUGCCCCCACCUUAUGCACCUGUAGUCUUUGGCCCUCUUUUCUCAUCCUUCCUGGCUCAUGUGCAGGUGCUCACAGGGAUGGCUCCCACUCCAAUUGCCCUGUAGGCUGGAAUCACAGUUAGCCCCUCCCCUGUGCAGGGCCUUUGCACAGACUCUUUGGGCACCACGUGCUCUCACAGAGGCUGCCAAUGGCAUGUUUUUUGGGUGUUCCUGACCAGAUGCUGUGGACAGUAACAGAGGCCUUUCGAUUUUCCGAGUGUACGUCAGUGGAGCCUUCCUCUCAGGCCCCCAGCCUACUGCUGCUGCUUCUCUCACUGCCCCUGCCCAACAUGCACACACAUACACACGCACACAAACAUGCAUGCACACACGCACACACACAUAUGCACACACGCACAUACAUGUACAUGCACAAACAUGCACAUGCACACAUGCAUCGUCCUCCCUAGUGAGCUCUGUCCUUCCUGCUGCCGCCUCCUCCCUCACUCACCACACCUACAUUCUCAGAGCAGCCUCCCAGGGAUUUGGUGGUACUUUUGGGAAACAAUUUCCUCCUCGACCUCCCUCUUCGAUGAGGGAAUGAUAACUGAGACACAGCUGGUAAGUAGCAGUACUGGAGAGGGAAAGGAUGCCAGUAACUACCCCCACAUCCUCUCCCCAUCUCCACCAUCUCCAAUGCAGCCAACCUGCCUGAAUGCCUCAUGAAGCGCAGUCCAGCUAGUCUAGCGUCUCCAGUUUCAGCCAUCCUGGCUAUACCCCGUGAGGCCCUUUCUUGGGCUGCUGCUUUGAGGGUGGCCUCCAACAGCUGAACCACACCCUCACAGCCUUCCCAGGAGAUCCCUCAGGGAGUAUGGGAGGACCAGGCCCCUGCUCUGGACAAGUACAAGUACGUGGAGAGGGACACCAUGGCCUCUGAUCCCCAUUCCCUUGGGGAGAAAGGGUGGUGCCAGUUGGCAGAGCGGCCUUUGGGGAAGUUGACCCAGAGUGUGAGGGUCAGGAUGGAGCAGCUUCCAGAGCUCAAUCUUGGUGAGGGAGAAGGAGGAAGGUAUUAGAGGCUGAGAGACUCCUCUGUGGAUGUGUGCAGAGGCCUGAGGGAGGGUGCGAGGGCAGGGUUUAUUCGAGGAACUGCGAGAAUGUCAAGCAUUUUAGUGUGGGGUAGAAACGGAGAGGGGGCAGGCAGAGACCAGAGUGCUAGUCCUUGGGCCUGCCUUGCCCUGCACAGACUCUUCAACUCUAUCCUCAGCACUGCAGUCCCCAGCUGGGCUACCUUCAGCUGCCGUCCUCAUUCUGCCUCUGUCUGGGAACUUUCUCUGCUCGUUGUCCCUAUGUGCAGGCUCCGGGUUGGCUGGGCGGGGACAUGGCUCCUCCAUGGCUUUCACUGGCAGCCUGUGCUGCAGGUCCUGAAGUCAGGUGUGGGGACUGCUGAGGCUCACCCCCAUGGGGCUGGCAUACUGACAGGCUUUCCCAUCAUCCCUCAGCCUCAAGGGAGAAGGGAGAACUAAUCCCAUAGGGAAACAACAGCAAAGCCCCAGUGGACUGUGACCAUGAGGAUGAGCAGUAGCUUGUACAAACUUGUCCUUCGGCCAAGAGGCCCUUUGGCGGCUUUGGGAGGAAGAACAUGGCGGGUCUCCCUCCCCCAGCAGGCCUCCUCCCUGCCAUAGCCCCUCACAGUGCCAGGAGCACACCAGGCCAUGGACUGAACAAACCACCUUCCCAGGCCCUGUUUCCUGGCAGCCCUGUGGGCGCCAAAGCCUGACAGGAGGUGGCUGACUCCGGGUGGCCCCCCUGUGAGCACCUCCUCACAAACAUGGCCGGCACCUCCCGGAAGAACGGCUCUUCUCUGCUUUGCUCUCAGUUUCUGGGCUGACAAUUAGGCUACUGAAAAAGGACAAUUCACAACAGGCCCACACAGAGAAGGCCUUUCAUGUGCAAGAAUGGCCCCGUCGUCCACAUUAGCACCAUUAUGUCUUUAUUUAUAGGAGGUACUGUACUUGAGAAUGGUCAGGCAGCAUUGCUUUAAGAAGGGUGUUUGGUCACUGGAUUUGAAGCACACUGAGAGGAUUCAUUGUCCCCAGGCCACACGGGGCCCGGCCUAGCAGCCUGGGGUUCGGUCCAAGCGUGCUGAGUGGGUGGUAGAGCGCACGCUGACAGGGGCUGCAGGGUCGCCCUGGCUGGCAGAGCCUUUGUGGUUGAGUCGGUGGGUGGUGGGGGGAAGAUGAGGAAGCUGUCUCAUGGUGGCAGGUCUGUGACAGGCCCAGCCCAGUCUGAGAUCCAUUUAUAGAGUGACACAGCAGCCUGUGCGGGCAGCAGGGAGCCAUUCUCACCGACUCACGCAAAUCCAAGAGAAGCCUGGGUUCAUUCAUGAUUUAAGGUUUUACGGUAUUGGAAAUGACAGCCCCACAUGGGAAGGACCCUGGGUUUUUGUAACCCUGGCUGUUGGCAUGAAUGCUCCAUCAACCCAGGAGGAUGCCCACAAACACCCUCUGAACUUCUCACACAGACACCUCAACCUGAAGGAACUGUCUUCAGACAGCCUGGUGCGGUUUUAGAGAGCGUGCAGCCUGCAGCAGGAGCCUUCGUUCAGGUGGUCCCAUCUACUCCUCAACCCUGCCCCGCUCCACCACCUCAGCUCACUUCUUCCCGGCCUCCUGGGUCUGCAGUCCUUGCUGUUUUCCAGGGCAGCAGAAGGCAUGCAGAGGGUGGGCAGAGUUUGCGGUCCCCCUCAGCGGAGGAUCACACCCUACAGCUGGCUCAGGCUCUGGGGUUAGCAUUUGAAUUGGGAGUACCCGGCUGAGGGCUCUUCAUUCCUCGCACUGGCUGAUGGAGCAGUCGUGCCCUCAAUCAGAGCUGCAGAAAGCCAUCAUCCUCCCCAAGUGGGGCUCUUGUUCCUAAUACUGUAACCUUAAAUCAUGAAUGCAUCCAAGCUUUUCUUGGAUUUGUGUGAGUCGGUGAGAACAGCUCCCCACUGCCCAGAUGGGCUGCUUUGUCAUUCUGCAAAGGCUUCUCGGCCUAGACUGGGCUUGUCCCAGGCCUGGUUUCUAAGCAUCAUCAUCUAUCCAGGACAUAAAGAGGAUUGUUGGCCCCUGCACCCCUACUAUUUAUUAUUACUGCUGCUGUUAACUAUCACUUCGUUGCAUUUCCCGAGCUCAGCACUUGACUUGGAUGUUUUCAUUUUAUCUUCAUAACCACUUAGGCAGUAGGUUCUUUUAUCACCAUUUUGCAGAUGAAGAAACUGGCUCAGAGAGGGCAAGCAAACGGUUCAAGAUUACACAGCUAGAAAGAGGUAGAGCCACAUCAUGUUGCCUCAGAGGCCCUGAUUCCAAGCUGCCUCGGCCCAGGCUUCUGGGUCCUUCCCACUGCCUCUUCCAGGUGUUUCUGAGUCAUGAGCCAUGGAAGAAGAAGAAGAAAAGAACAAAUCACAGGCUCAGGUAUGCUCCAGGGGCCUCAUCUUCUAGCUGCCUCCUCCCAGCUGGGCCUCCAGGCUUCUGUAAUUCCGUAAUAUGGUUCCCUAGGGACCACUUUCCUUUGCCUCCCUACAUAUCAGUAAGUCAUUUGCCUCCCUACAUAUCAGUAAGUCAUUUCCUCAACUUUUUUUCCUUAGGGCUUUUAUCCCUAUUACGAGAAAAAGUUUCCUUCACAGUGAUUUAUGUCUGCCUCUGCAGAUCAUGUUUAAAAGUGUUCCAGAGACUUUCAGAAUUAUUUUUGUUUAAAUAUUAGACUUCUGUCCCUGCAAAAUGUAUGACCCUAUGCUGUCAAUCCUGGAUAUUGGCUUUGGUAGAGUAGCCAUCCUGGAUUUUUUAACCUAGAUAUUAAUCGAGCAUUCUGUCUUGUGACAAUGCAAACCUUCACUGGAGAAAUGCUGAGAGAAUAGGGAACAGGUUCAGGCUCAGGACUGCACAGUCUCUAUCAUCCCAGUUACCUCCCCAAACCCAUGUUAGCAGGAAGUGAAACCAAGGCAGAUGGUCACAGGCUUCAGGGGAGGAAGAGACGGGAGGCAGGAUGAGCGGUGGAAACCUUCCACACGGGGCUGAGCUCUCGGGCCUGUUUAUGAGGGCAGUGGAGCACAGGCUUGGAUGCAGAUGGCCUUGGGCCUGGCUGUGCCACUUGCUCACUGCUGUGUACCUGUGGGCAAGUUACUUGAACUCUCUUUGCAUCCGUUUUUGAAUCUGUAAAAUAAUUGUACUAUCUUACAGGCUAGUUUCGAAGAUUGAAUGAGUGGAUGCAUACAGUACCCUGAGAAAAGGGCCUGGCACGUGGUAGGUGCUCAUUUAUUGUUGGCGACAAGAAGAGACUGGUUUCAGAAUAAAUGGCCGGGGCUGUUUUUCAUUCAGCAAAUAACAGUAGUAAUCUCUCUGUUUUAAAUAGGCAGAGAGGGUUGACAGGUCUGGGGAGGUGCCCACCUAAAGUCAGAAAAGGUCCUUGCCAGCCACAUCACAGGAUUCAGGGAGAUAAUGUGAUUUAUUGUUUAUUUAAUUUAUUUAUGCCGUGCUGAGUUCCAUGCAGGGUCUGAGCUGUCUUCCGUCUGCUUUCUUUCCAUGUUCUGUUGCUUCUUGGUGAAUGAGAUUAGGGCAGGAAUUGGCCUCAGUUCUGGAAGCUGGACUGGUCCUAUCAGAGCGAUCCCAUUCUUUGUGUGUUUGCCUGUACUUGAUGCAUUGCUGUUGCCUUUGAUUCCCUCUGCCUGGCGGGGGUGAGGGGUGGGGGAGGGAUUUGUCCACCUGCCAUUGUGUAUAUCCAUGCCUUUUUGAAAGACACCUGCCAAUGUGACUCUUUUUUCUUUUAAGAAAGCCUCUCUUGUGCUGAAAAACUAAGGCCUCAUCCAGUGGCAAAGUCCUCUGUAGGCCAGCCCGGUAGUGACAGCUGAGUCAGGUUAUCACAGGCAUUUCUGCCACAUCUGGAUUCCACAAAGCAGACAUCAGAUGGUGGCCUGAGGGUUCGUGCCAUUAUAUACAACAAGGGUUGUGGUUUAAGGACCUCAUCUGCCCCUCCCUGCCCCAGCUGCUUCCUUGUGGGACGUUCUUAGCCUCAUGGUAGCCAGGAUGUGGGUACAUUUCAGGGGACUGAAACUGUCUCCUGUAGUUGCCAGGCACCAGGAACCCCAGCCAGUCAGUGUGUAAGCCCAACCCUGCUGUCGUUUCUGGCUCCCCUAUCUCCCUCCACCCACAUCCACUCUUUCUCCAGAGUCACCAUCCAAGCACAAGACGAUACCCUGCCAGUAUUAGCUGGUCAUUCAGGGCUUCAAACUCUUGAGGGAGAACACCCUGAAAUCGGUAGACAUCAUGCUGGACUGGGACAGUAACUUACUGGGUCACCUUCUUCCUGUCACUUUGCCUCUUCUGCAAAAUAGAACUGCCACCCACUGUCCUCACUGUCGUGCCACGAAUGUCAAGUUUAUAUAACUGCAAACCACAUUCAGGUCUAUUCUGUUUUCCUUUCAAACACAGAUACUUUAAUGGCCUAAACUACUCUGACCCUGCAACUCUACAGGGUAGCAUUAGUUUUUUAUAAUUAUCAUCUUGUGACUGCUCAUGAGAGACUCACAAAGCACGCAUGGUCCAACUGGCUGCCUCCGUAACAUGAGGAUCACACAUUGUCGAUAACGAUUAGCGCCAAGGCUGAGAAAAUGAACAUCCAACGGCAUCUAGACCAGGAGGAAACACAGGGCACUGGGCUGGAAGAUGAGCUGUCCCAGGUGGCCCACUCCACCCAAGGGAUGCCCUCCAGUUGACAGCCCCCGUCCUCCCCCCAUACAGUCGAUUGCCCUUGCUCUCCAUCCCAAAGUCCCUGCCCAAGUUCAUCAUAAAGUGAAUGGACCAACUCCUCUCCAGGCUGGAGUGAUUCUGCCUUAGUCUCUUUGUUUAAGAUUAUGGACCAGUGCUCUAGUACUUUACAUCUUGUACUGUUGGGUGAAAAAUAAAAAGGGGAACUGUAGCUCAGGGGCUGUUAGCAAGUACCAAGAAGGAAAAUGGAGCUUGUCCUGCAGUUAGGUGAACAAGACGGUGAUUUUGGUCUGAAUAGAGCCACAGACAGUGGAGAUGAAAAGCUGAAAAUGUUUCAGUAGCUGUAAGUCCUAUGAGCAGUGGCAAUGUCCCCAACAUCCUAGGAGGUUUUUUGUUUUGUUUUGUUUAAACUGUAAUCACUACAAUAAAUAUUUUUCUUUAGAGGAUGAAAGAUCUAAAUUUGAACACUGUUGUCUAUAUUCUGUGUAAUGGCUAUGAGAAUGGUAAGAUUUUUGUUUUCUCUUAGAAAAGGGAAAUUUAUCUACAUUCCCCUUAAACUUUUAAAAAUAUAUUAAAAAGGAAAUUGUUCAUAAUAUGUGUUCUCCGAAUGAAUAGUAACUUAAUAGAAAUUAUUUUUUCUAUUAAAAAAUUAUUAACAUGAGAUUGGAGAGGUGUUUUCUUUUUUCCUCCCACCAAGAUGAACCUUUGCACAUUUGAAAUGGCAUCUCAAGACAGUUGGGUAGCGGUUUUUAUACUGGAAGUAGGGAUGACCUUAUACCCGGUUCAAUUUAUAACUUCUUCAAAAUUCUGUUAUUUCUUCUGCUAAUACUUUGUUCUGUGGAAUACUUGCUGUGCUCCUAUAGUACCCAAUAGGAAGCUUGAUAUACAAUUUUAGCAAACCCAUAUUAGUUACUUCUAAAUGAAUUUGAUUCCCUUCCCUUGAAUGUAGACACUUUAAUAUGGAUGCAAAUGUUUCAUGAUAGAAAUUUGAUGAAUAUAUUACAAAUCCCAGUCGCACGUGAAGGGAAGCAGUUUGGUUGGAUGUUGAACGCAAGAAUAAAAUUCCACAGCUUCCCAAGCUCUAAGUAAGAAUGUUAGUUGCCCCCAAAAGAAGGAUUUUUUUUUAAAAGGGAAAAAUCGUUUUUAAAAAUCAGCAAGAUAAUCAACCACUGCAGAUUUUGAAUCCCAGUCCUGAUCAGGAAGCAGGAGAAAGAAUUCUCAAAUGUACUAUGAAGACGUGGCUGUAUAUGUGAAGAAUACAAACUGAUUUUAACAUUAGAAUAAACACAGCAGAGUUUGAAAUGCCAACUGAAAAUACACAUAUUGUCUCCCCAAACCUAUUAUGUAUUUGUUCAGUGAACCUUGUCAUUGCACCUUUCGAAGGCAGAGGUGGCGUGUGUGCCUCGCCCACACAUUCACGACAGAUCCUCGCUGGCUGCCAUGUUCAUUUGUGAGAAAUAAAGGAAUCUGAAGGUGGUUUGUCCCAUCGUGGCCUUGAUAAAUUAAAAAUUUGCAUAUGUGUGACAAUAGUUUCGCAGUCUUAAGAAAGCAAAUAAGAAAGUGGAAAGCAUUAAAAUAAGUGUUGCCCCUAACAAAGCUUUUAGAAAUGGACAAAUAUGAAUGGUAUUGAUGGAUUUCAAUUGAUUCUUUUUAAAUGUUUUAUUCUGUGGAGUUUGGGAAGUGACCCAAAGCUUUGGGGGAGCUUGUGAGCAGCCAGAGUACUGGUGGCUUUCUGUUUUUAUAGAAGCUCAAGCAAAUCAGCACGUAAAUGCUUCCUGAACAUUUUCUGUUUUCAGGAGACCCGCACGAGAAAACAGCACCCGUAAGUGGGAACAAUGAAGCAAUCUGCUUUGUCUGCUUAUAGGGACUUUAAACGGACGCUCCAGCUAUAAAAUACUAACAAUCUCAGCAGGCCUCCUUUCCUCAUUUCACAAAAUUAAUUUUAAGGACAGUGUCUUAUAGGAGCUCAAUCUUUGUCUGUUCUCUGCACCUCAGAUCUGCUCUUCUUGCCUGAUUUUCUUAAGCUGACCGAAGCUUUCCUGGAAACGAUUGAGGAAAAUGGUGUGGUCCUGGGUAUUCAUGACACUGCCCACAAGGGCUCACUGGCCUGUAGGCUCCAUGCCAGCCACCAGCCCAUCAUUUCUCAGUGAAAAGAACCUUUCAGCUCGGUUACCUCCUGGAGAGAGCUGAUUUUCCAGCAGUCAGGCUUGAUCUGGGUAAAUAAUUAGAGAGCUGGAGAGCGAAGACAUCACCGUGGUGCUGUCUAUGAUUCUGCUAAUAUAGCCAGACCCUGUGAUUCCGUCACUGCUGCAGUCUUAAGGCAGCCUUUCUCUGAGGCACGGAGGGAGGGCGGGAGAGAGAGAGAGAGAGAGAAACAGCAACAAAGCCAGUUGCUCGCAUUUGUCUUGAAAGAACUAAUGACAUUUUUCAUUCUUUUGGUAAAACCAAGAAAACAGCUGCAGCUCUUUAUCUGCAUAUAAGAAGGUGAAUCAAAAUAAGCCUUCCUCUCCCACCACCUUCACCUACCAAAACAUGCAUGCCCCAACGCAAUUACUUUGGCAUAUUGAUUUAUUUUUAAAACUGUAUUGCCUCUAGUUUACUGGAAUUUGUAGAGCUCUAGAUUGUACAAGCAGAUCACAUUUCUCAUAAAGCAGACCCUGAAGUGGUUAAUAGCUUGUUCUUGAACUUUUGCAGCUGCUCAUUAAAAGCCAAUUAAAAAGAAAAAGCACACUGGCUGUUGUAAAGUAUAUGUGUCUCUCUAUAAAUAUCCAUUAUUCUAAAACGUUAUCACAUUUUAUCCCAGCCUUCGGCAUGGUGCCCACGGAUAAAGAAGAACAAGAGCAAAGUAUUAGACAACUGAGGUUCUAGUGAAAUUCCCAAUUUUUCUCCCAUUUGUCUUUUCAGCUGUAACACCUAUGGUUAAUAUGCCAUUAAUUCUUACUGAUUGAGAAUCAUGAUAAGAAGUCCCUUCUGAUUUAUUGAAAAAUACCAGUUGUACAAAUGCUGUUUCAUUGCUUUUGAAAAACAUAUAUAAUUUUGAAUGAAUAAUAAGAAAUAGAAAAAGGCAAUUAAAAUAAUAUUCACAACAGGCAUGUUUAACAUGAUUAUAUGUUAACUACAAAGGUCCCUUAACAAAUAAUUCCCAGACCUACAACUGGAAGACAUAUUGAAGAAACAAAGGCCAUUAGCUUAGGGGGCCUCCCCUGACAGGUGUGGAAGACCCUGACUAUCAGGAAAGCUGGAAGUCAACUCUUCCCCCACCUAGGCUGACCUACACAGAUUUAUUCUUCACAGACUCAGAAUUAGUGAGUUCUUACUAUAGAGUAGAAUGAAUACACACUUUUCCAGCAAAUAUUAGCUGAAUCUUCCAUAGAUAUGUGAUCUUUAGUCACCAAUAUGGCAGGCCUUGCUGGAUGUUGGUUUAGGACAAACCUGGAUGGUCUCAGCCUAUUUAGGGUUAAAUGACUCUUGAGCCAAGGAGUAUGGCACAGUCACACUUCGUAUUUCUCCAGCUAAGAGUGUAUUCAGACUAUAUGUCCCAACUCCUUUUUUUUUUUCAUCUUUUACCCAUUUCAUAAAACAGGUUGUCUUGGAACUGAAAGCAGUGAUAGUUGAUUGAUGUUUAACGUGACCCCUCUGAAUGGACUAAAUGUAGUCCUUUCCUCCCUCUCUUCUUUCCCUCCCUCCCUCCUUCCCUUCUUCUUUCCCCCUCUUCCUCCUUUCUCCCUUCUUCCCUCCCUAAACCCAAGGGGCUUUUCAAGGCUGUUCUGUAGCUGGGCUGAGGAAGAUCUUUGGGGACUAGCCGCCAGGAGGGUACAUGUGUCAAGAAAGAUCGUGGGGUGUCCGGUAUGGGGGGGCAGGAGACUGCCAGGGGCAUUCUGGUCUGGCACAGGAGGACUGAGAAUGUUUUUUGGAGAAUCAUGGGGCAUGACUGUCUUCCUGUCAUGGGGCAGUGUAAGGACUGUGGUAUUUUAGGUGUUAUCAAAGAAACCUCUGGAGAAAAGCAACGUGUAAGAACCCUUUCUCAUAAUGCCACUUGCAGGUUACCGCUUUCAAAGCAAAGCCAGACUCCGGCCCUGCCCGGGGUAGGAAGUCUUUGUCUGCCUGCGCGCCCGAGCGCUCCCGGCUUGGGAUUGAUUUUUGGCCCCCGCUGCAGCAAGUUGGGGGCUGGCGAGGAGUGUGGCAGGGACUGGGGGCGGAGUGCGGACUCGCAUCCGCUGCCACCUCAGGAUUUUUUUUUUUUUUUCAACUUGGAAUUUCCAUAUGACAAAAAAGAAAGAGGUUUCUCUUCAAUCUAACGGAGCCAUUAACAUCUAUUAGUAAUGCCGACAGGGUAAGUAACGGAGUCGCGCUCUGGGGUGGUCGCCCGGCUGCGUGGUCCUCGGCUGGCCUCUGGCAUCGGCUGCUCCUGUGCGCUCCAGGCCGGGUGCGCACGGGUGGCGCGGAGACCCAGCCCAGCUGCCGGCCGCCUGCUCCUCCCCUUCUCUAAGGUAAGGGGUCGUCCUCAAACUCAGCAGGGCUCCGGCGGGCUGAGCUCGCCCCCUCCUCGGACUUCUUUGCGGGGCAUUUUCUCUUGCAGGUGUCUUUACGUGUCAUUUCUCACGGGGCAUUGCCCGCCGCUUUCCUGCAACUGUCCUUUCGGAUUUUGUGAUCUGGUCCCAGCACAGAGGCUCUCCUAAGAGGUGGUGCCCAUGCAUAUUCAUUCUGUCUAGUAACCGGCUGGCCGUCUUGCCAUUGCAGGCUGAUUUAUUGAUUUAUGUAGGAAGUGUGUUUUAUUUUAGUAAUUAGGCAACCCUGAAUUCAUGGGAGCCGUCUGCACUUCGCAGGCAUGUUCAUUGCUGGGAAUGAAAGACAAAGGUUGUCGUGCACCCCGCUUCGUUUUAUAGCUAGUGACCAUUGACUUUGUUGUUUUGUGGAAAGCUAAUUAGGAAUGGAAUAUUUUUUCCCAGAGGAAUCACUGAAAUAAAUAUUAGUGUUUAUAAAGCCCACAGCUUUUUUUUUUCUUCUUUAAAUAACAUUUGACAGGUUACUGCUACUGUGGUGUGUUGUAAAGAUUGGAAAGUGUGGUGUGUUGUUUCAGUUUAGGAAUGAGUCUGGGGUUGAUGUUGUCUGUGGGACAGUCACUGGCAUGUUCCCAUAAAGGUACAUGAAAACAAAUGCUGCCUUUUCAUUACAAAGGAUAUCACAGUGAACAGAGAGACAUCACUUCAACUGGAUUUGCUGUAUCCUUAUUUUAUUCUUAAACUUUGGUUUUCUUCUUUCACAUCCCGCUAUCCAUUCAUCCACAACCCCAUGAUGAAAAAAAAAUCAUCUCCACAGACUCUAAUUUUUUUCAGGAACUCUAUUAUGCCUAUAAACUUGACCUGGAUUGUGUUACUAAUUUGGUAGGUUAUUUUGUCAUACAGGAAAUCACAGCCUAUGGGUCGAUAUGUGCAUAUGAACCCCUCAGCUAAAUUAUCUAAAUUGUUUUUAAAAGAUAUUUUUAGGUCAGUGAACACUUAGCAAAAAUAUCUUUACAGAUCUCGAUAAACCUAUUUUUAGUGUCAGUACUUUAAAAGCUUGCUCAAUGCAACUGGUUCUAAUCAAUGUAAAAUGUGCUUCUAACAAAAGACGUUUAUAUUGUUGAUGAUUAAAUUAUUCUAAAUUUCCUUUAUGGAAAUAGCUGAUCUAAAAACAAUAGAAAUUUCACUGUGUAAAAUACUACUCUGAUUUUUAACUCUAGAAAAUGUAUGUAUUAUUAUAUUCUUGGAGGAAGACGCCGUGUAAGAAUGCAUAACUAAAGUACAGUAACGUUUUUCCUGGGUUCAUGUUUUCUGUAAACUUGCAUAUUUUAUUUGAUAUGCUUCUGUCACUUUUAACAAAUUCACUUAAUUUUUAAUAUACUGUGAAUUUAUAUUACAUAUUAAAUAGAUAAAUAUAAUAUUCAUGCAUAUAUACACAUGAUUUAAUCUAUGGAUAAAACGACAGCCAUUAGGGUGAGAAUAAUGAAGCAUCUGCCUCUAUGAGAAAGAGCGAAAGGGAGAAACCACCCCAGAUUGGUAACUUAUAAGUAACCAGCAUGAAAAGGGGCCAAAAAGCUUUUCUUUUCCUUCAGUUCUUAAAUAAGCUUUUCCUGGUGGCAUCAUAUUCAUGUUGGAGUGAUUAAGUAAAAACAAGAAGACAGAACAUUUCCUAGGCAAUAUGUUGUUUUUAUUUUGAAUAUUUACUAUAAAAAUUUUUGAAAUGCCUUUAUCGUCUGCUGAAAAGUAAUCAUAGAAUUGAUAUUGUUGCAGAUGGUGUGAGGAUAGAUUUUUAACAGUAAUGAUAGUAGAUACGAGUUGGAAUGUGAUUGUUAAGCUUAGGAAAAAAAAUCUAACAUGUAGAUAUGGGGUGUGUUUGGCGUCUUUGUGCUUGUUUUAUAGAAGGCACGUUACCUUUGUCUUCAAACCACAGCACUGAUGUAUCACACAUGGAAGCAAUGUGUAACGACUUAACACAGCAAUAAUACAUUUAGUGUAGUAAGCAGUAGGUCUUGAGGAUAGCAGAAACUUACCACAGAGAAUAUAAGGAAUGAAAUCAUUAGAGUGUUGCUGGGCUGACUGCAUCCUGAGCAAAGAGAUGUUAUGCCUUGAAAUGUGAAUUUUUGAGUGAGCAGACAGUAUGCCCUCCCCUGGCCCACCUUUAGUGGCACUGUGUCUAUGUGGCCUUUUGUUUACUGUAGGUAGAGUUGACACUACAUCCCUGAGGAAGAUUAUGGUGUAUAUAUACAAUCUUUUACUGAUGAUCUGAAUUCUUGUGUAGUCCUAUGAAAUGCAUACACACAAACCCAUUAAUUAAAUAGUAACCCAGGAGAGCAUGUGUUGGUGAAGUCAUUUUUAAAUUCAUUUAAAAGACUGUAAUAGAAAUUUUAAAACACCGCUACAAACCAUUACCCUUCAGAUCACUAGCUGAGACUUUUUUAACCUAGAAAAUGACCUUUUCUCUACCAGGUACUCUUGACCAUUAAAAAGCAUUUUUGUUGUUUGUUUAGGCUUCUAUUCUAAGGAAGAUUAAUAAAGUGGAGUAUCACUCAGUAUCAGAAACAUUUGAGACAAACCUCCUAUUUGAGGUUUGGCUUUGAGGUCAAACUAUUGGUUCAAGGAUUCACUAACAAAAAUACUUUCCUCACUUUCAUGAAUAAUUAAAAGGGAGCUGUUUAAUAGAAAAGCCUGUACCUGGGCAGUGGUAUUGUUUCACGGUCUGCUGUGGUUGAAUCAAGAAGCAGGGGAAAGUCCCUUCCACUUUGCAGGUACUGGUGAUCAGCCCCUGUUUAUCAGGGGGGAGGUUGGGAAUGAAAUUACUGGGGAGUAUUAGAAAUUAUUUGUGUAGGUAUUUACUGAUACAGAAAUCUAUGCACUGUAUUUUUUAAUGUGGCCAAAAGUAAAAUGGAAUUCUUCCAGUGGCUGGCUGUGGGCCUGGGGCAUUCUUGUUAACCACUUAGGAUGUCUUGAAUUUCCCUGAGAAAUUCAAUGGAAUAAAAAGACCUGCCCACACUGGUAGAGUGGACCUCCAUUUGUAGCCAGUAUUUGAUGUUUAGCCAUCUUCUAGUCAAAGCUUUCGCUGGCCUCACUUUCACAUUAUUAUUUUGGGACCAAGAUGAUUUUCUCCCCAAAAGAACUAUGUCUUCUGUAUACUUGAAAAGGGCCUGAUUUUGGUAGUAUUUUGCAGAACUCAGUUCCAGAGAGACAGUACAAUACCUUAGUGGUUUCUUCUUUAUGUAAUGUACAUAUUUUAAGCACUUUAUUUCAGGUCACUGGCCUAUUUUGCUACUCUAGAUGAUUGACCAAUGUUAACAAACCGGACAUACCUUGGAAAGAAUAAAUUAAGAAUGGCUCCAGGAAGCCCCAAAGGCCCUCAGUAACUAGUUUCUAAUAGAUUCAAGGAAAAAUCCUCUUAACCUUUCUUCAGAUUUUAUCCCCAAUACAGUGCUCUCCUGGUUGAUAAUCAAUAAAGACUCAUGAGGGAUUUGACUUGCAGUGAGGUUUCAUUGUCUCUCCCCUCAGAGAAUUUCUCUCUAACAGUCUCCAGGUGGCUGAAGAGUAAAACAAGUCAUUUUCCUCUGUGCUUCAGGAUUACAAUAUGAAAAUCAAGUGUACAGUAGCGUCAAGGUAUUAUUGAAUUAUUAGACAGCUUAUGGUUUUUGAAAUUAAGUAGUGAUAGUAGCAUUGUGGAAUAUCUAGAUAUGCCUGGCAAACACUGGAUACUAUCACUGUGCUUACACAGCCCAGAGAUAAACUUUUCUGAUAUAUUUUAGGCAUAUAUUAUAGCAUAACCUUCACGCCUUUGGAGAACUAUCAUAAGUAAAAUGUGAUGGGUAGGAAAAUAAGACUGUGUGCUCAUUGGGUCUGAGUGCUAAAUUAGGCUUGGAAAUUGACCAGUUUGCCUUUUACUUAACUCCAAAAUCCUUAAGACAGGAACCUGUCCGGGAGGCUAGUUAUAUGGAACAGACACAUUGAUUACACACUGUAGUCACCUCUUUUGCAGACCCCUCUCUCCUGUCCUGAAGAAUUUCCUUUCUUCCAAGCAAGCCAGAGGUAGGAGAAACAAGAGCAAGGGAGGCAAGCAGUGUUGCUGAGGUCCUUCCUCUACUGUAUCAUGUAUAUGCUUGAGCAGGUAACUUGGUACUGCCAAGGGCGUGGAAGGGGAGUUUCCUGUGUGUUGGCACAGCAUGAAUCAAGCAGCCAGGAAAAUGGUGGAAGGGAAACAGUAACUGAGAAAUUGUUUCCUCUGGGCUGUGGGAGUUAAAGGGCCAUGUGAGACCCCUCCUGUUACGUCUCUACCACCAGCUACCUGGAGGGCUAGAUUUCCCUUCCUGGUUUAGCAGACAUGCUCCCUGGUUCCUUCCUGGAAAAUACCAUUAUGGUUACAGACACGACAUUCUUAAGAUGUCGCUCUUGGUCACAAUGACAGUCCAGUAGAACUGGAAUCAGGUUGAGCUAUAUGAAAUUGCUGAUGUUCGGCCAUUUCUGACCUAUAAAAAUGAGAGUUAUUUAUCUCCCUAUUUCUAAUCUUGCUCUACUUCUUUGCACAGCAACCAGAUCAUGUAAUUCCCCUGCCUAAAAAUUCCCACUGGCUUCUCAGUGCACUCAGAAUAAAAUUCAGGCUCUUUACCUCGGCUUCCUUGGAGGUCCUCUAGGAGCUGGCCCCUGCCUGCCCUUCUUCUCCAUCUCCCUCCUCUCCUGCAGGACUCUGUUCCUUCCAGGCUGGUUUCUCAGCUGUUCCUAGAACUCACCAGCCAUUUUGUGCCUUGGGAUCUUUGCAUUUGCCCCUUGCACUCCACAGCUGGCUCAUUCUUACAAUGUAAGCCUCAAUUCAAACUUGACUUGCUCAGAGAGGUUGUUCUGGUCCUUAUAUCUAAAGGAAGCCUUCCACCUAAACCUCCUUAGCCCAUUUUAUUUUCUUCCAAGUACUUUAUUCCUAUCUAAAACACCCUGCUUUUGUUUUUGUAAAUACAAGAUCUCGCCAUGUUGCUCAGGCUGACCUGUCUCAAACUCCGGGCCUCAGGCAAUCCUUCGUCCUCACCUUUUCUGCUAGCUGGGAUUACAGGUGUGAGCCACUGUGCCCAGUUGAAAUUCCCUUUUUUAUUGCCUUACUUCUUAAUGGUUGUUCCCUUUGUGAUGGUGGGGAAAGGAGCCAGCACGCUGCCCGUCUUGCUCUCUGCUGUGUCCCCGCUGACCUGGAGCACAGCAGGUGCUUAGUAAGCAUUUGUUGAGUGAACAUAUUGGACACCUUUGUGAACCACUGCAGCCUCUCAGCUUGCAGCCAUUGCAGAACCUAGUUAUAAGCAGCUGCUGGCAGCUUCCCUCAGGUACAACGAGGGGUGCCCUCCCACGAGGAAUUCCUGCCUCUCACUUCCUGUCCUGUGCUAGCCAUUACCCUAGAGUAGGACCCUCUCCAUAAGGCCUGGCAGAGAUCUACUUUCCCCAUUCAUCCUCUACUGAUAGUUCUGAAACCCAUUUGUUUAGGCUCCCCGGAUUGUCCUUGUAAGAUCCAGUCCAAUCACCCAUAGUGGCAGCCAAUCCAGUGAUGCCUCCUAUACUCUCUUGACCUCCUCCCCCAUUUCAUUCUCCUGUCCCCACUCCUGUUAAACUGUCUGCCUGCCAGCCACUGUUGUAGGCAGUGCUCUUGGGGGAACUCAGACUAAUGAAUGAGAUGAGUACCAUUGCAGAGGCAAGUAAGGUACAAUAGGUGGCACGAUCUUCUUCUUAAAAUAUCUCAUUCACUAAGUUGCUAUACUAUCCCGUCUAUUUGGUAACAGCUAAAAGUUAAAAAGAAGUUACAGUUUUAAGUUAAAACAUUUAAUCCUCAUGGCAACCCCAUUCCCACUGACUAGAAGGAAACUGAGGCACCGUGACAUUGAGUAACUGGCUCAAGGUCCCACAGCAGUCAGGGGCAGAGCUAAGUGCAGGCAAGCCAUGCCCACCUACUCUCUUAACCUUAUAUGACCACACUGUCAUGGCUCAUGUUACUCACAGCCUCAGUCCCUCCUUCUGAGUCUCUCUGUCUCUGCUGUUUUUCUUUGCCUGAAUCCUUAAGGCUCUCAAAGUGGCACACACACCCAAGAUGCCGGGAGACCAUAAUCUAGUGCUAAUAAUUCUUUUUGCCCCAUUGACUACAAGAGUUAACUUGUAACAGGACAAGCAGGAGCCCACACAAAGCUGACCCCAGCAUUCAGACCAGCUGUGUGGUCUCUCUUUUACCCUAAGGAUUGUACUUCUGUGUUUCAGCACAGUAGUGAGGGCUUUGGUGAUGGGGAGUCUGUAUUGCCCUGUCCAGCGUUGGGAGCUGGGACAAGCCCCCUCACCAUUCCUUCAGCCCCGUUUCCUCUUCUCUCCUCACUUAGCCACCUCACGGCAUUUUAGGGAUUGAACAUGACAAAGUUUGUAAAGUGUUGAAGGUACCCAGCUGCUGGCAAGCACUCAGUAGACAGUGGCUAAGAUUGUUCUUUUUGUAGUAGAUAUGGGGUAAAGAUGGGACUUGAGGUGGGCUGGAUCCAGGGAAGGGGCACAUCUUCUCUAUUGUACCUUUGAAAACACUAUCUGGUUUCACCUUGCCUCUAAGCCAGAGAAGAUGGAAGUGCUAGAUAGAAUGAGACAAGGAGAUACCAUUAUCUUUCAUUUCCUCCCCUCCCUAAACUCCCUGCUACUCUGUCUAGACCUGCCUUGGAUUCUGCCUUUUGUUCUAGGCAUCUGGAAGCCUAGGCAUGAGCCCAUGUCUUCUCACAGCCCAUGGCAUGUCUGGGGGACAGGUGGUCUUGCACCAGGAAGCAUGGGUGCAGUCUGUCUGCGAGGCCCUGAGGCCUGCUUGGGCAGCCCCCAUGGGACUGGCCCCUGUGAGGAGGCUGGUUGAGGUCUACACAUCAUCCCACACUGUUGGAGGCAGAGUCUCCAGAGGCACUUCCAGAGCAGAUGCCAGGCUGUUAGGCCACAGGCAGAGGGAAGCUGGGGCCUGGGUGGCACUCUCCAGGCCAUCUGAUUCCUCUGUAGGGACCCUGGUACCUGCUGUGGAUAGGCUUCCCAGCCAGAGUCAGGCUCACUUCCUCCAUGUGUGAGGGGGGUGAAAUCAGCACAAAUAGUGACAAAUGCACUUAAACGUUUCCUUCCCAGUUCAUGCACAUGUAGGUAGACGUAUUUAUUUUCUGCAUACUUUCUGAUUAGAGAUGAUGUGUACUACAUGUGUACUACAUACAUAUUACAUAGUAUUAUAGUUUUUCGUUGGUUUAUAUAUUGAGGGUGUUGCCCACCCAGGGACAUAGGAACUGGAGGAUGUGCAUUAGCUUUGAGAAGAACUGAAGUGGCUUCUCCUGCUGCCUGGCCCUUUGAGUAGCAGGUGAGCCACCUGGAGAUCAGUGGUUAUGGUAGAUUGGCACACGCUGGACUUCGUUUCAGCAUUUAUUUAUGGGGACUGCCAAUCUCCUUCAAUGCUUGGGACUCUUCACUUGACAGAUAUUCAUUGUCUAGACACAGGGCCCUCAUGCAUCAGAGAAGGAGCAUUUCAGGGCAGCUUUAAGUGAUAUCCUGUUGACACUGUUUAUAAAACCAAGGAAUAACACAUUAGGCAAAAGUGACAUAUUGAAAAUAAAAUAUCUUUUGCCAGUCCCUUCCUAUGGAAAAGGUAGAAUCUUUGAAUAGGCAAUGAAUAGAUUGUUUUGGUAUCUCUUAUUACUUUGGAUUUCUAUUGUAAAACCAAGUCACACUUGGAGAAACUAAUUUUCCAACUUUGUCCUCAACUCUGAUGGAAGGUAGCAGGGUCAUUAUUGAGCAGAAGUGACCAGAACAGCCAUUUCUCUUCUUCUAUGUCUUCUAUUAUUGUGCCCAGAAAAAGUACUCUAAAAUAACAUUGUCUUUUCAUUAGAGUCUCUUUAAAUCCUGUUGGUUCCAGUAGCACAUUACCCAUUACUGUAAAGGACUCUGUGACUGAUUUCUCAGGGUGUUUCCUUUAAUAUCAUCUUUACAUGUUGCUUAUGAUUUUGUUGUUCUCUUCCUCAUUAGCAUGUCAAAUCAGGUGUCCCCAAAGCAAGGCUUUUGUCUUUCUCCUGUCCAUCAUUGUACAGGGCUGUAUGUGUUUCUGCCGACAGCUGGAGGGCAAAGCCAGCAACACCUUUUGAGUAAAAAUCUGCAUGUAAUUAAAGAUCUUUUGUAGAUCAGCAUUUGUAGUUCCUUUUCCAGGCUUCGUAGUUCCAGUUUACUUGUAACUCCAUCUUCGUCUUAUUUGAGGAAAUGUCACUGUGUUUUCGAGCCCACAGGAGAACUAGGUCAAGUGUUUUAGAUCUUUUGCUUUGUUUUUUCUUUUAAUCGUAUUUUUGUUUCUAAAAGCUUAAAAGUGAAAAAGAAAAGCAGGAAUAUGGAAAAGUAAAACCAUUAAUUGGUCAUCAGAUUAGAAAUGCAAAAUUGCCAAUAACAUAACAUGUCCAUGUCCAUAACAGAACUAGGACUGCCAUACAUAAUUUAUUCAAAUGCUUUCUCCACUAUUCCCUGUUCACUUUCAAAAGAAGGAAGUGAAUUGGCCUUGUGCACUGUUGAGAGUCACUUUGCAUAUGAAAUGGUUGACUUUCUCACCCCUCUUCCACUUGAUUCUUUGUCCAUGUACAGUACCAUUCUAAAUCUAUCAAUUCCUCUUGGUCAUCAUUUAAAAAUUCACAUUGAUAUCAGCAUAAUGUGAAUGAAAUGCUUUACAAAUUUGCAUUACGAUGGGAAGACACAAAGUAGGCUGGCUUAGGUUACCCUAUGGAGACUCCAUGAGUAUAUCUGUUGGCUUGAUUCCCAGGAUUGUGGUUUAAAUCUGGCCCAGGUAGAGUUACCAGAUGAGAAGUUUAUGUUCAAUCAAGAAAUACUUCAUGGGAAUUGAUGGAUAAAUGGAAAGACAGUGAAGGAGAGUGUCAUAUAGAGCUCCCAGUACUGUAAUCACCCAGGGAUCCAGGAGUUCCUAAAUGGGGGUGAGGUACAUUGAAGACCACCUGGGAAUAAUUUUUUUUUUUUUUUUAAUUUUGAGACAGGGUCUCACUCUCUUGCCCAGGCUGCAGUGUAGCGGUGCAAUCAUGGCUUACUGCAGCCUCGACCUUCCCAAGCUCAGGUGAUCCUCCCACCUCAUCCUCCCAAGUAGCUGGGACUACAAGACAGGGCUUUGCCAUGUUGCCCAGGCUGGUCUUGAACUCCUGGGCUCAAGUGAUCCUUCCACUUCUGCCUCCCAAAAUGCUGGGAUUACAGGCAUGAGCCACUUCACCCAGCCAAGGCUGAUUAUUACACAUUCAGAUCCCCAAGCCACCUCUUCCCAAACCUGAGGUUCUCAUUCAGUAGGUCUGAAGGUGGGCUUGGUAUUCUGUAUUUUAACCGCUUUGGUGACUGACGAGCAGCCUGAUUUGGUUUCUUAGCUUCGGUUUCCACAUCCCUAAAAAGAGGGUAAUAACAUCUAUUUCACAGAGUUGUUGGCAGGAACUGAAAAAUGUGUGGGAAAGGGCCCUGGGAACCGUGAAGCGAGACAGACUAGGACGUGCUGAAUUAGUGGGUUUAAUUCUCAGCCUCCUUCUGAAGGAGUCUCUACUUUCCACCCCAGACUGAGGUUCAAGCCCUGCCCAUGGGUCUCAGGAUGCUGAAAAUAUUUUGUUCCCAGUAGGAUCCUGUUUUCAGUCUUCCUCUUUGCACACCAAAAUGUCAGCAAAGGCCUUCUAGCUCCCUAACUCUGUUCUCAUUCUUAGAUCUCAGCGCAAAAGGCACUUCUUCAAGGGAGCCUUCUUUGUAUUGUUGUUUAAAGCAGUCCAGUGAGAAAGACGAAGUUCCCUAUAGCUAAGAGAUUGUCUGUUCUCUCUUGUAUCCCCAAAACCCUGACUGUGCCUGGCACACAAAAAUAUGUUGUGCGUGGUCAAUACAGGGAGAAGGGAGAAAAGAAAUCAAGGAAUCAGGUACCCUAAAUAGGACUCAACUUUGUGCCUUGUUUUGUGACUUGUCAAUCAACCCAAAAUAAGGAGCCAGGAAAGUUCAUCCACGUAUUCCCACUGCCACCACCUCCCUGAAGCUUUAGCUGUUCUACUGUAGAGCUCAUUAUCUUCCCCCUAGACUCCUUGCAUCCCCAUUUCUGAUAAAAGCACAGCCAGCCAUCAGGCUGUCCAAGUCACAGAUUUUAGCAUCAUCAUUGAGUUUUCCCUCUUCCCCACCGCCCAAGGCCCAUCUAUUCUGCUUUUAUCACUUCUCUGGUUCCAUGCAUAGAAUGUGAAGUUUGGGGCCAGAACUGCAUGGUGAUGGGGCCACUGACACCCGGUAAUUCAGACACAAUUACUCUCAGGCCAUUCCCACACCCUUGCCUGUUCACCCUUUGUCAUCCCAUUCCAGUUCUCAGCUUCCCAUGGGGUCUCCCUGCCUGCAAACACAGAUGUGAUGAUCUCCACCUUGCAUUCUUCUAACAUAGUUCUCAGAGAUGGGGUGAAGGCAGAAACCUGUUCCUUGAGAGCUGUAGGUGACUCAGGGACAGGGGCUGGAUAGUUUAAUGUAGAGUUUUUAAUACUGUCGUUUUAUAUUUGGGAAUGGGAAAAGAACACAGAGAGGCAAACUGGUGGACUUGUGCCACAUAAACCAAAUGAUACCACCCCAACUCCCCUGGUGCACGCACAUGCCUGUGUGUGUGUGUGUGUGUGUGGAGGGGUGGGCAUUUCAGAAUCUCUUGGGAGGGGGUGUGACCUUUUUUUGGUUACUUUUUUAGUAAGGGCACAUGGAUUUAAAAUGGCCAGACAAUACUGGAUUAAUGGCCCUCAGUUGCUCCAAUAAGGGUUUGUCAUUUCUAGGGGGAAGGAAAAGAUAUGCUGCAUACAUAGCCCCAAAACCUGCCACCCAGCCCACCUCAGCUGUACCUUACAUGCAGGGCGCUACCAUUGAGCAUGCAUCUCAGAUCUGAAAGCCGAGUCUCCAGGGGCAGUGAGACAGAACCGGUGCACCCCCAUGUUCCUGCCAUGGUUGCCCAGUUCUGCAGCAUGGCAUUCCUAGCCCAGUCCAGGUGGGCACCCCCACUCAGCCUGCCUUGGCUGCAGAAACUCCCUCCACUCAUGUGGCCCUUCAGCCACUCCAAAGUAAUCAGCUCUUUUAAAGAGGGUCUUAAGCUGGAUUUUGCCAGGGGUGGGAGACAGGCUGCCAAGGUUUGAAAUUUGCUGGCCUUCCGCAAUCCACACCUCUGGCCAAGAUUCCCAGAUCCCCAUCAGUUUCGUGACUUUUCCUCUCUAAUACCACCAAGCCCUGUAAUGCUUUAUCAUAAGAUGUUGUAGGUCUCAUGAUACAGGUAGUUUCUGUUAUUCAUUCCCAUCUUCCUCACUCAAAUCCACCUUUGUGUCUUUAGCACUCCUUAAGGACAGGAAUCCUGGCAAAUCCACCUUUGUGUCUUUAGCACCCAGCACAGUGAGUGGUGCACUAAAUAAAGACUACUAGGUGGAUGGGUGGGUGGGUGGAUGGAUAGAUGGAUGGAUGGGAAGGAAAGGAAGGAAAGAAGCAUUCCUGGUAUUCAUAAGAUGAAUAAUGACAGCCUUUGCAGUUUUCAUGAAAGACAGGGCCAGAGAUACUUCUCUCCUGAAAAACUCCUUUUGAAUAUAAAUGUAACCACCACAGCUGAAAUUGUAAAUUGCGAAAAGAUCAAAAGCUUUGACUGAAGCCCACUUUCUUUUUUUUUUUUUCUUUUCUUCCUUUAUCUUUUUUUUUUUUUUUUUUUUUUUUUUUUUUUGAGACAGUCUUGCUCUGUCUCCCAGGCUGGAGUGCAGUGGUGCCAUCUCAGCUUACUGCAACCUCCGUCUCCUAGGUUCAAGCCAUUCUCAUGCCUCAACUUCCCAAGUAGCUGGGAUUACAGGUAUGCACCACCAAACCCAGAUAAUUUUUUUUUUUUUUUGAGACACAGUCUUGCUCUGUUGCCCAGGCUGGAGUGCAGUGGCACAAUCUUGGCUCACUGAAGCCCCUGCCUCCCCAGUUCAAGCGAUUCUCCCACCUCAGCCUCUCGAGUAGCUGGGAUUAUAGGUUCCUACCAUUACCCCAGCUAAUUUUUGUGUUUUUGGUAAAGACAAGGUUUUACCAUGUGGUCAGGCUGGCCUCCAAUAAAGACCUGCACAGUUACUGUCUGUAGGAAAUCAGUUCGUGUAGCUGGACCUUUUCAUCAAUGCCCCUUUCCUGUACUGUCCCAGGAAUUUCGAGGUGUCCCCCCCAUCUGGUUGCUCUUGCUUUCCCACUCUUUUCUUGAGAUCACUGCCCUUUUUCUAGGGGUGUAUGGCAUUGGCUUCCAAAACUCAUGCUUCUCGGUGGGGCCAGAUCUCAGCCUGAUCUGAUGUCUGAGCAAGGGUGGGGCUGGCACAGUGAACAGAUACAACGUGGGUGUGGGCUGUAGGCUACACUGUGUUUGGUGGGUAUAGGAGGCUUUUAGGAUACCAGGCUUUCAGCCACUCUGCCUCAAUAAUUAAAUAGUCCCUCCUCCCACAGUGACUUAUGGUGAGGUUGCAGGAAUAAGAGGGAAUUCACUUUUUGGCCUUCUUUAAUAUUAUUCCUUUAAGGAACAUUAGACAUUAUGAUAGGAAGACCAAAAAUCAAAGACAAUAUUCUACUUCAGAUCUUUUUUAAAAGAGGGAAGAUAUGGGUAUAAAAUCCCACUCAGUAAAAAUUCUCAUAGCUACAUGGAUUUAAUACUCUUUAUUUCAAGGUAAAUUUCAAUUUCUCAUUAUUUAAAUUCAGAAAUCUUAGGCUGUCACCAACAUUUCAGACAAUUUACUGUUUUACAAAAUAAUAUUAAUGAUAAUAAGACAACAGUAUAGUGAUCCUGAAUGGUUCUCUAACUGAAUGUCACAUAAAAAAUAAUUGUUUAGAGGCCAGGCCUGGUGGCUCACACCUGUGUAAUCCCAGCACUUUGGGAGGCUAAGGCAGGCUGAGCUCAGGAGUUUGAGACAAGCCUGUGCAACAUGGCAAAACUCCAUCUCUACAAAAAAUACAAAAAAAAUUAGCUGGGCCUAGUGGUGCACACCUGUAGUUCCAGCUACUUGAGAGGCUGAGGUGGGAGGAUUGCUUGAGCCCAGGAGAUCAAGGCUGCAUUGAGCCAUGAUCACACCAUUGCACUCCAGCCUGGCGACAGAGCAAGACCCUGCCUCAAAUAAUGAUGAUAAUAAUAAUAAUAGUGGCCGGGCACGGUGGCUCAUACCUGUAAUCCUAGCACUUUGAAAGGCCGAGGCAGGCAGAUGGCCUGAACUCAAGAGUUCGAGACCAGCCUGGGGAACAUGGUAAAACCCCAUUUCUACUAAAAUACAAAGGAAAUUAGCCAUGCAUAAUGGUGUGUGCCUGUAGUCCCAGCUACUCGGGAGGCUGAGGCAGGAGAAUAGCUUAAACCUGGGAGGCAGAGGUUGCAGUGAGCCCAGAUCGUGCCACUGCACUCCGCCAUGGGCAACAGCGAGAUUCCAUCUCUAAAAAUAGUUUAGAAACAAGGUUUUCUCGUGGAGAAAAUUCUGAAGGCUUUUCUCUCUUUCCCCAUUGUCUUUCAUUUUCCAAUCAGAUUGCAGAGGUGAUUCCUUUAGCCUUUUAGUCAGCAGUUUUGAUAUUCUUCAAAUCCAGUAUCCACCUUUUGCGUCUUGGUGUUGGAGUCAAGCCUCUGUUGCCAAGUUUUUCUGUUCUGCGGCCACCAGUACGCGCUUUGGAGAGUUCAGUGCCUUCGUGAAUGCGUCUUUUCUAUAACACCACCGCUUUUUACAUCAGCUAUAUGGCACACAUUCUCUGAUUCUGAAAGGCAUAUAUGUUCAUUUUAGACCAUUUGGAAAAUACAAAAAAACUCUGAAGGAAAAAGAAGCACCAGCCAGAGUCAUCCCCCUUAGGGAUAUGACUGAUAAUCCCUUCACCUAAUUCUCCUCGUCUUGGUCUGUACAGAUAUGAGCCAUAAAUUCAAGGGCAGCCCUACAUGCAGAUUUAUAUCCUGUUUUCUUCCAAAAGGAAACUUUUAUUUUGAGCAUGUUCUCAUGAUAUUAAGCAUCCUCUCUGAACACGAAAUGUUAAUAGAUAAAUAAUAUUCCACCAUGUGGAACUACUUGAAUGUGAUCGUUCAUCUACCGGUGGACAUUUAAGUUGUUUCUGUUUAUCACAAGCAUGAACAGUGGUUGUUCAUUAGUGGACCUUCAUGCAUGUCUCUGGCCAUGUACAUCUGCUCCUGUAACUUUGUAAAUUGAGGUUUAUUGUACGAGCAAUAAAACACACAGACCGUUAGUGUACACACCUAAAUAUGGAUACACCUAUGUGAUAUGCCACAUGAAAGUCUCCUUUUACAUUUCCCUGUACGUUAAUUUUGCAUUUGUUUGUUUAUGAGUAUUCAAAUACAAGCAGUUGCCAGGAACUUUUCAUGUAUGGUCUCAUUUUAUGCUCAUGGGCACUCUCUGAUGGAGAUGCAGCUGUCCCACCUAUCCACUUGAGACCUUUAACACUCUCAGCACCUGAAUAGCUCGCCCAAGGUCAUAUAGCAAGUCAGAGUGAAGUCAGGGUGAAGGCGUUUGGAUUUACAUUUUGCCUGCACACAGAAUUUUAAUUCUGUAUAUUUUCUCUUAGAUAAUUAAAAAUAAAAGCUGCCAAUAUCCUUCGAUAAAAAACCAUUGAAUUUCAUUUUGUUUGUUUUUCCCUUUACAACUACACUUAGGGGUCAGUAACUGACCACACUCCUUCUCCUGGUUGUAGCUUAUGUUUAAAAUCAGCAGGGAACUGGCAUUGCUGCCUUCUGGUUUUGGUCAUGCAUUUUUCUCAGGGCUGGAAGGCACCAUUGACUGUCAUGGAGCUACAAGCCCUCACCUACCCACUCACACCCCUCCCACAGACUCAGGCUUUCCCCAGUUCUGUUACUGCAGAGAAGCACUUCUGAGCACAGAAGCUGAUGACAGCCACUUAGCAAGUUGUCUUGGGCUCUGUUGCCAAAGCACAGGGAGAGACAACCUCAGUUAAGGUGCACAAUUUAGACUGGGGACAUGAGAGAAACUUCUGGUCCAUUUUCCAGCCUGCCUAAUUUACAAAGAUGACACUGAGCCCAGUUGUCUGCCUGGGGAGACAGGCCAUUAAGAGCCGGCCUGAGCCUGGAACUCAAGGAUGUCUGCCUCCCAGCAUCUCAUCAGAUCAGUGGACACACACUUGGGGUAGAUGGCCUGGGCCUGUCAGAUGUCACACUGCUUCUUGAGGACACAACCUGAUUAAAGGCAGUCAGGUUGAAUAGCAUCCCAAGUGCAUUCCCACUGAUGGGAAAUUUAACAAGACAGGAAAAAUUGUCUUACCCAGACCUCCUCAAUGUAUGUGGUUAAGAGGACUUCUAGGGCAAGGCGUUUGGGGCAGGAUGGGGUGAGGACUCGUCAGCCCCUCAAGGAGCAGGCUAGAUUAGGUAAUCUAUGAACUGCCAUCCAAGGUAUGUGUCCAGUUAACCCCAGGACUCUGGUUCACUGCAUGGGUUGUGCAAGUUUGGGGCCAGCAUGGCAAUGGGGCCAUCUGCCCCCAGUAAUUCAUACAGAGCAGCAGGGUUUGAGGCCUGGUUUAAGUAUGAGCAAGUUGCCCUCCUUCUAUACCAGCCCCCUUAUUCCAUCCAGCCCAGGGCCCGUGUGUGCCCAGGAGGAUGUGCUUUCUUUGGGUCCUUUCAUCCUCUCUGGAAGUAGAGGUGUUAGGAGGCUGCUCACCAAACCACCUGUGCCUCUCAGCUAGUUCCUGUCUUCUCAGUGGGGCUGAUAGGCAUGAUGACAAUACCACCUUAGGGAAGUGGAGAGAAUUAAAUAUGUUGGUGGCUACAGAGCAUGUACAGUGGUGCCCAGCCCAGUAAAUGGUAACUACUGGCUUUUAUUUUCUUCUCGACUAUCUCUGACCCUUAAUUCUUCUACAUUCCAUUUUCCCUUGUUUCUCUGAUGCCUUUCACACUGUUACUCUGAUAAAAGACUUAAACUCUGCUAUUCUGUGAAAUUGGUAUUAUUUUACUUAGAGUUAAACUUCCUCCCAUUUUUUUCAUGUUUUUCCAUAAUGUUUUGCAUUUUUUCUGUUAUAGGACUUAAAGCCUUGGUGUAAAAGUUGCAGUCUCUCACUAGACAAUGCUUCUGGAAGGGAGGAGCUGCUGGAUACCCAGCGCUUAGCCAAGAUUCUGGCCUAGAGCAGGUGCUAGCAGAUGCUUAUUGAGUCAAUAAUUUUCCUUACAAAUAACCCUUAGAAAGACAAGGUCACUGGUGGCUGGGGGAUGUCCUCAGGUAAUCCACACAGACACUUCUUUGCAACAUCAUGUUAUCACUGUCAGGGGCCACCCCUUCCUUCUUUCCCCUAGACUGCCUUACUUCUGAAGUCCUUUUCUUUCUUUCCUUUCCUUUUCUUUCUUUUGUUUUCUGAGACAGGGUCUCAUUCUGUCACCCAGGCUGGAGUGAAGUGGCACAAACACAGCUCACUGCAGCCUUGACCUCCCUGGAGUAUUUUAUCCUCCCACCUCAGCCUCCUGAGUAGCUGGGUCUACGCAUGUGACACCAUGCCCAGCUAAUUUUUGUAUUUUUGGUAGGGAUGGGGUUUCACCAUGUUGCCCAGGCUGGUCUUGAACUCCUGACCUCAAGCAAUCUGCCUGUCUUGGCCUCCCAAAGUGUUGGUAUUAUAGGCGUGAACCACUGUACAUGGUCUGAAGUCCUUUUCUUAGCAUAAGUGAUUUCCUUUGCUGCAGAUGAAAAAAAAAUAAUAAUGUUCUUCUUCCAUCUCUUCUAUUCCUUUGCUGCAAAGGCAAAGAGAGGAGAAGAUGCCAGGGGCAAAACAUGCAUUCAAGACGUCUGUUUUCUCUUUCUAGCCUACGACUUGAAGGUGGUAAGAAACCAGCCUGUGUUUUUUUCCCCCUUCUGGUUUGUAGCAUCUCUAAGAAGGGGAUAGAAAGUCAGCAUUCCUUAUUUGUUGAACUGGCUGCUAGUAUAAAGGAUCUGGGGCACCCGGGGUCAGUGGAACUUGGCCACCUCAGCGCCUUAGAGCUCAUGCCAGCUCAUCUUCUCUCACCCUUCUGGUGUGAGUCAGUCAUCUGGGAAAUUCUGAUUUCGUAGCUGGGCUACUGGUAGAAUUGACUGCUGUUGCAGAUUAAAGGAAAAAGGGCUGUUUAGCCAUCUCAAUAAAUGUAUGAAAAGCUUCUGAUAGAAAUUUGAUACCUAUUCCAAAUUUUUAAAAAAUUAUUUCUAGUGUGAUGAGAGGACCUUAUAAAGGGCAUCUAACAAAAACACCCAGUGUACAUCCUGAACGGUAAAACAUGCAGAAAUACGGCAAAGGUGCCCAACUUUACCGCUUCUCUUUAGCAUUGUGUAUUGGGAGUCUCAGCCACUAUGACACAACAGGGAAAAGACAUAAGAGGUAUAGAGAUUAGAAAGGGAAGAAGUUUCAUGUUUUUCAAACCAUAUGGUAGUCUAUGUAGAACAUCCAACAUAAUCUAAAUGAUUUGAACUAUUCUGUGAAUUCAGAAAGUUUAAUGGAUACCAGUUUGGUAGCAUUGCUAAGUACUUACAACUUCUUAGUAGAAAAUGAAAUGUAAAAGAUUUCAUUGUAAAAACUAAGAAACAAAAAUCUAAUAACAAAAAUGUGAGAUGUGUAUACGGAUAACUUUAAAAUGUUUUGAAAGCCAUAAGAGAAUGACUAAAUAAAUGAUAAUAUAAAUGAAUACUGUAAAAAUGGCAAGUUUCCCCAGAUUAAUUCAGUUUAAUUUAAACAAAAGCUUCAAAAAAGUUUUUCACAGGAUUUAACAAGCUAAUCCUGAGGUUCUUGCAGAAGAGUAAAGGGCCAAGAAAAGCCAAGACAAAGAAUAAAGAAGGUAGUCUUGCCCAAGUAAAUAGGAUUUUUUAAUAAAGAUAUUUUUUAAAUCAGGUAUUUUUCAGAGAUCAACAUGUCCUAUUUGGUUUAUCUAGUCUGACCCUCUGGCCUAGGAAGCACAUCAGAGUUAUAUUUCAGAGGUGGCAUUGUCAAUCAGUGGGAGAAGGGAACCAAGUCAGUCUUCUGUGCUAGGAUGACUGAUUUUUCACAUAUGGAAAUAUUAAAGUGGAUAGCUUUCUCAUACCUCACAACAAAAAUAAAUUCCAGAUGGAUUUAAGACCUGAAUGUGAAAGACAAAGUUUAAAAAUGUUUAGAAGAAAAACAGGCAAAUAUUUUUAUGACCUCAAGGAGGGAAAAUUUUCUUACACAAAAAGCACAAAAGAUAAAAGGAAAAGAUUAAUAAUUUCAUGACAUAAAAGUUUAAACUUAUGAAUGACAGUAGAAACCAUUUUUAAGAGGUAGAAAAACAAGCCCUUCACUGGGAGAAGAUAUUUGCAACAUGUAACAUACUAAUUCAGGCUACCCAAAGACCUCCUAGGAUUCAGUAAGAAAAUCACUAACAAACCAGUCAGAGAUGGUCAAAGUAUAGGCAAAAGCUCUUUGCAGAAGAGGAAAACUGAAUAAUCCAUAAACAUGAAAAGAUGCUCAAUUAGUAAUCAGGAAAAUGCACAUUAAAGCCUCCAAAAACAACCAUUUUACAGCCAACAGAUUAGUUAACAUGUUGACAUCAGACAAAACUGAGCGGAAGCACUGAAGUAGAACCUCAUACCUGGAUGGCAGGCUUUUAAAUUCAGAUGGAGCUACAGCAUCUAGCAAAUCUGAAGACCACCCCCUACCCAGCAACUUCAUUUUGGUUUUCUACUCUGGAGAAACUCAUUUAUUUGCACAACAAGAUGCACCAAGGAUGUUAAUCACAGCACCUGUGAUGGAAAAAAUAAAACCUGAAUUAUCCAUCUAUAGGAGAUGAAGACAUACUUUUUUGGUGCAUAUAAUCAAUGGAAUUUGGAGUGUCUCUCAGAAUGAUAGGGAUCAAUAUGGGUAAACCUCAGAAAUAUAGUGGUGACUGCAAUGAAGCCAUUUAUAAAAGAAACUUUUGUAUUUUUGUAUGUAUAUGAGGUUUAAUUCUAUGCAAUACAUAUGUGUAGGUAAAAAGGUAGACAUUGGCCAAUUCCUAUAGUCCAACCUAAUACAUAUAUAAUAUAAAUAUUAAAAGGGAAGGGAAGGUUACUUUCCAACUUCACAAUAGUGAUUGCUUUUGGAGAGGGUGGGAGAGGAAUGGAGUCAGUUAAAACCUACAAAGGGAGUUUUCAAAUGAGUCUGUAAAGUUUGAUUUAGCACACGAAACUGGAGCAUGUGGCAAAUGUGAACACUUGUGGAAGCUGAGUUGUGGGUACUUGGGUAUUUUUCACUUUAUUCUCUGUACCUUUCUUUGAGUUUAAGGUAUGUCAUAAGUCACACACAAAAAAAAAAAAAGAAAAGAAAAGAAAUUCAUUGGCCUGAAAGGUCAGUGAUAGAGCGCAUGCAGAUGUGGUUCAUGUGGGUUCUUGUUCUCCUUUUGUGCUUCAUUCUCAGAAAAAAGGCAAGGUGGGUGCAGUCAUUUCUGGCCUGGCCAUGGAAUGCAACAAUAGCCGAAGGAGGAGGGGGGCUUCUGGUGUCUCCCGGAAGAGUGUGGGACCAUCUUUCUCAGAAGCUCCUAGAAAACUUCUGCUCUAGUCCCAUUGGUCCAGGGUAGGUUACAUGUCCAAUCCUAAACCCAACUAUGGGGCCAGGAGAAUGCCAGCAGUUGAUGGCUGAGGCCUGUAUUCCUAAGCCAAUCAUGCACAAGGGCAUUGAAUUACUCAUAGACCUGAUAGGUCCUUGCAAGAAGCUGUAGGUGAAGAUUGGGUGAGUUGUGUAGGGGUCAGGGAUGGAUUUGUAAGAAAGCUAGCUGUCUGUUAGAAAGAGGAGAGGGAAAAUGGAUGCCGAGAAGGAAUCCAACCCAACAAUGUCUACCAAAGGAAAGAUUGUCAGAGGUGAGAUCCAAGUAUAAGGGAGUGUUGAAAUCUAUGUCAUCAGAUUGCUUUCUUAAACAAUUGAAUUAAUUUUCAUUUCCACCAGUGAUGUUGAGCCAUCCCCAGUCUGACCCACCAGCAGUGGGAUUUCUCACCUAUCAGAUUGGUAAAAAUUAAAAAGUGUGACAGCCAUAGCGUAUUGUUGCUGUGAUUUGCGUUUCCCUGACAACCCCUAAGGUUGGGCAUCCUUCCUCGUGUUUGUUGGCCAUUUGAAUAUGCUCUUUUGUGGACUAUCAAUUCACAUCUCUUGCCAAAAUAAGAAUUCCUGUCAUCAAGCUUUUAGACUGCAUAGGAUCUGAAUAUGUUUUAAAGGCAUCCUCUGAGCUGGGAGGUGAAAAGUGAUUAUCCAUAUCUGGAAGCAGCUUGGUGUGUUGGUAGUAAGAAUUAUUCCACAACCAAGAUACCCAAGAUUCUUGUCCUCAGUACUCUGCCCCAGUCACUUGUCACAUUAGGGAACUGAGGCCCAAAGAAGGAAGACAACCUGCCUAUAUGUAAAAUGAAAGGCCUGCACUAUUAUUUGUAAGGGGCUUUCCAGCUGUGUUACUUCGUGCUACUGGUUUGGACAGGAUUGAAGACCUCUGUCUGCCUUUGACUCUCUGGAAAUUAAAGUUUUUCCUUUCUACCUUGUAGUGACCCUUCACUGAAUAAGGCAAUCUCUGUGGCUAGAGCCUGCCAUUCUGGGCAAAUUAGAGUCCUUGACUCAACCUGUAGUGCUCAGCAAAGUUUUUGUUCCAUCUUGGAUUUCUCAGUCAGGGAAAAAAAGCUUUUGCUCAUUUCAGCCUUCCCUCCUCGCUCCAAGUUGUUCCGUGUAGGGUACAGUUGGGAGAUUCUGGUUCUAGAGGUAGAAGAGAACUUUAUAUUUUCAAAGCAGCCCUAUAAAAGCACAGCCUGACUUUAGGGCCAGUGUUUGAUUUCAAAGCAGCAAGGCAACAAACCUUCAUCAAGUUAUCUCCAAUGUUUACUUGCAAAUUUUGGAAGAAGCCUGUUAGCGUUUGAGGAUUGUGAAAAUCCACUUGGCAUCAUCUUUAUUGACAUCUAGACAGGAAAAAUGCAGGUUGUGAAAGUCAGCUGGCUGGCACAUGCUGGGGGAGUGUUUGGGAGUGGAUAUGAUGAGGGGAUUUCCCCAGGUUAGGAAGCUAACUGAGUACUCAGUGCUCCUGAGUACCUAGAAGUAGGCAGGAAAGAGCAGAGCACCAGCUGCCCUCUUCUCCCCCCAUGGCUGUGUGUCCAGGGCACAUUAAAUGAUGGGCCAGUCCUACCAAGAGUAACUCCUACCUUCUUGCCUCCCACAACUCCUAGACACAACCCUGCUGUUGGUAUAGGGACUUCAUGGAGCUGAGUCCUUUCUGCAGCUUGGAGAAAACCUUCUUCCAAGUUCCUACCUUCCUACAGAGUAGGACAUGUAGACAAUUCCAGUAAUGCCCAACCCACAAACCUCACCACUCUGUGGCCAACGUGUAAACCUCCCAUCUUAGUGUUACCAAAGCACGCCACUCAGAAUGGCAGAUGGCAGGUCAUUCCAACCAAUAGGUGUGGGUUUCUGGGCCAGACUCUCCUCUCAGGAAUUUGCUGUCUUUUCCUUAAUGGCUAUAAGGAUGGGGGAAACCAGAGAAGUCAUUGUUAUGGUAUUUCAUGAACAUGUGUGGUGCUCUUAUUUUCCUGGUUUUAACAUAAUAAGACUUGUUGCUUUAUGUUUUCAUCUAUUCUUCUUGAGAAAUCAAAGUCAUUAUUUGUAUACAGUGGUUUCCAUUGAAACAUUAUCCAGCACACAGUUCUAGACAUAUGUAGUCUGUUUCUCAAGGCAGGGUUCAGUUGUGAUGCGAAUAAAAAGUGAGACCCUGUAACUUUGUUCUCUCCAAAGCUUAAACUCAUGUUGUUCAUUAUAACGGAUGUCCACAGAGUGUGCACCAUGUCCGGAUAGCUGUCCUCAGCACUGGAUUGAUUCUGAUCAAUCAAAAGGUGAUUCUUCCUCAUUAUUAAUGAUUUAGAAUUUGAGAUCUUAAUAAAGAAGAACAAAGAUGAUAUUUUAACUUAUCUUACCAAAUACAUUAUUUUUGGAUAUUUUCUUUUUCACAUUGUAGAGUUAUCUUUUUUUCUUUUCAAAUCCAGUCUUGCUUUAAAAAAGUAAGAAAGUAGAUUCUGUGUCCUUCUUAAAACCAACUCCAGCUUCUUCAUUGCCUGCAGGAUAGAAUGAAAAUGUCUUAGCCUGUGUGGUGCUCCCCAGGCAGGCAGCCUCUUCCUCUGGGCCUAAGCACUUUGGACUUGUCACCCUUCCCAGUCACACUGUGCUUCUGUGGACCCCACGAGCUGACUGCUGUGCUGGGAAAGUCCCUCCAGCCCCAGCUGCACAGGCUGACCAGUUCCCUCACGCAUCACUAUCCAGCCCCAAGGGCCAGCCCCCGACCAAAACCUUUGUGUGCCCAUAUUAAGCAUUCCUCUACAACCCCCUGCAAUUUGUUCACACCUUCAUGAGAGCACCUUAGGUUAAUGUUCUCUGCUCACUUUCCUUUUUGCUCACUGGCCUGUGAGUUAUUUGAAGUUAGAAGCCAUCAUUACUUUAAUCUGUAUUUCCAGCAUCUAGUUAAAAAAGAAAAAAAAAGACGCCUCUAAAACAAAUCACUAGAAUAUACACAGUUAUGUCUAUACCUCAGUGAUGAACUUCAGGCUGUUAAGUGAUCAUUCAUUCAUUUGUUCAUUCAUUCUUCAGUAGAGGGAUGUGUUCUUACUUUCUGCUAGCACUGGAUGUUAGAUGAGGUCCUGGAAUCCCAGACACUCUUAGAGCCUCUACUUUGCAAAGAUGGAAUUGAAGGUUAAUAGACAUUUUAUGAGACGUUGUUGUGGAGUCACAUUAAUUUAGGGUUGAUUAUUUUUUAAACUUCUAACCUCCAUUACUCCCCAGAAUUGAACUCAAAUGAGUUCUCCCCUGUCACUCAGAACUUGUUUGGAGGAACUAGAAAACCAUGCAGAUUCUCAGCACCUUUUAUUCACGAUUUUAAAGGCAAAUCUGGAUGUGGUAUUACACCAAGGUGUUUUUAGCUUUCCUAAAUGUCCUAAUCGACAUCAGAUUUUUAUGAAAACAUUCAAAAGCCUAUGAUUAUUAUUACUCUGACCACUGUCUAUUUAUAUUUACAGAGUGCUGAGCAGAAAAAGAAUUGCCAAAGCUUUUCUAUUUAAUCAUCCUCUAGACACACCAUAUAAAAAAUAGGGAAGUGGCUCAUUCUCAGAGGUUCCUUGGCCCUCAGCCAACCAUGAAGUCCCCCGUUACAGCCACCCUGAGUCUCUCUGUGGGAAGGGACUUUCAGCCCGGGAAAGAAUGAGUUUCUGCUGGUGACCUGCCAGGUGCAGGUGGUUGAGUCCACUCUACACAUCUGGUUGGGGAUUUCCAAGGUGCUGGCUGGUGGAGCCUUUAUGCAUGUGAGGGGGUGAAUGGUGGAGAUUUCUAGACCACAGCCCAGGAAGCUUUCCAGGUGGUAAAAUAACAUCAGCCAUAUUAUGCUGUCCACUUUUUUCUCUCAGGUGUUUAAACUCUAGAUCUCCAAAGUGAGGUAUACACAAUAUAAUCCAGUGUGGUGCUGGAAAAAUACAGACCAUUAGACUAGAACAGUUCUAUUCUCACACAUUUGAUAAUGGACUUAACAUGUAGCCACUUUGUGAAUAAAUACACAUAUGUUCGUGUUAUUAUCACCGUUUCUUUUUACCAUUGAGGUCAUGUGCUCAAACAAGUUUAGAGGCUACUUUGUUAGCCAGUCGCCAUUAAUCUGGAACAGAGAAGGUUAAUUUUUGGUGGAAUGGAUGAAAAUGUUAAGAGACUUCAAACUAAGUAUCAGUUUUAUAAUCAAGUAUGAUAAUCUUCCUCGCAGCAUUGUAUGGUAUGUUGGUGUGAACUUAGUAGCCCUUGGGUUCUUUCCUGCAGAAGUCUAAGGGUAUAAGAUGACCUAUUUUCUGUAUAUUGUUAGCCUCUGUAUGUGCAUAAAAGAAUGAAGGACUUUCUAAAGGGGGCACAACAUAGCUAGUGUUAUCAUUCUAUAUGAUACAAAAAUGGCAGAGGAAGAGGGUCAAGGGACUACCAUUAAUAUUUUGCUGUUUCAGUAUUCUUUCUAUAAGUAUUUCCAUACAUUUUUGGUUCACCAAAUUAUGAAUAUGUUGAAUAAUGUUUUAUAAGUUAGUUUUUUCCACUAUAUAUUUUUCCUUGUCAAAGGGUAAGAAUAAGACAAUAGGAUCAUGACUGUGAAGGUCAUUUUUGGUGGUUCGACCUCUUAGUUCCGAGACUCCAACCCUGGAAAGUCUGCUCUUGUUGCUUGCACUUGCUUUGUAAAUCCAAAAACCCUAGUGCUUUGCAGGCAGAGUUACAGCCUCCACAUGCACCAUGAUUCAGGUAGACCAGGGAGUACCUCCUUCUUUUAGUACUAAAAACACCUGAGAAAACUAUACGGAGAAGAGAAGGCUUUGAAAGAUGCAUAUAGACUUGACUUGAACCUGGAGGUCCUCCCGGCGAGGUGGGGCCUUAGGCUCCCCAGGCUGAGCUGUAACCAGCUGUGCCAAGCAAUGACCUACUUCUUCCAGUUCCACCUUCUCCAUUAAAAGAAUUCUGACUGCUUCAGAGAAGAUUCUUGUCCCUCUAUCCCCACCCCAGACAUAGGCACCAGGUAAUAUUGAACAUGAAAUAUGCUUUUAUGAGUAUCCUUUGAUUCCAACAAAACUAAGAACAAAAAUCUUGGACAGGAAAAUAAAGCAUGAAGGUACUUAUGCCACCAUUAGUAACUUAGUAACUGCCACCAUUAUUAACAGGACACGAUUAAUGGGUACCGCUAAGGUCCAUGGCAUAGACAAAGUAGGCUGCCCAUCAUGAGCAGUUCCCUGGCAAUCACCGAAAUUCACCCCCUUUCCCACUCCAGCAGGCUCAUCAGAAUGCAAGGGAUGUGAUUAUAUGGAUAGACCUGGCAAUGAUAUUUUUAGAAGCAAGUCUUAUUCUUAAAAUGUUAACACUUUAUUAACUCUUAUUAGUUUCAAGUUACUGUGUGAUACAGCACUGUGCCUCAAAAAUCUGACUGUGGAUGAUAUCUUCUGAUUACCAGUGUUCACUGCUGAUUCUCUGUAACUAGUGAAACCUGCUCCAUCUCCACAGGGAGGGGCUUAGGACCUGAAGAAACCUUGUUGGAUUUUUGCAACCCAGCUGGAGUCCACAAAUAUUGUUAGCAUCCGCAUUUUUUACACAGCAUUCAGUUAAUAGCAUGGACAUGUUUCUGGAAAGCUGCUGAUGCCCAUCCCUCUGUUAAGCAUCAGGUUCCCAGGAUCAAAGGAGCAAGAGGGUCUUAGGCAGUCUUCAGAGUAGUCUCUGGGUUCCACCUUUAUUAACCAAGGGAGGCUUGUGGCGGGGGUUGAGGAGGUGAGCCAGCCACCACACAAGCAGUUUUAUACCCUGUGUGACUUCCUUAGUUAUCUGUGGAAUGCAGUUUGUCAGGAAGGUUCUGACUUGCAAAUAAUUCAAGUUUUAUCAGUCCUCUCUCGUAGCCAGUCCCUCAAUUUUAAUCAGUUUAGAGCAACCUAAGAGGUCUUUGAUGAAUGGUCAUUUCAGUUCUGUGUAAAUACUUCUGAAUUGAAACAUUUCUCUAUGAACCGCCCAGAUAAACAAAGGGCCCACUAUAUUGGGUUUUGUUGGUAUUUUUACCAAGUUCGUUGAGCAAGCCUUCUUCAUACCAGUCCAUUCUUGGAAUUCUAAACAUGACUAAUGGCAGACAUCUGAAUGCUACCUAUAAGCACAAAGCUUUUGUAAUCUAAUUCCUUUAGUGGUGACCCUAGGCUUGUGGUCCAAAAGCUGUUGCUGAGGAUAUUGCUCUCUGGGCUUGGCCUGGGGAUUUUCCUUGUCACUGUAGGAUGUACAGAAGUGAGUUGCUGCCUGAUAUCAGUGCUGGGAGGUUUGAGGUUGCAUGUGAUUGAUUAGUCACGUCUUCCAUGGGCACAGAUGGGAGUGAUGACCUGCUGUCAAUCUGUCACCCCCAGAGCCAACCUACCAAUAUUAGUUCUUACCCCACCAACACUUGAAGCAAGCCGCUGGGGGCUUCACAGCAACUUGGUGAGGGGUCUUAUUAGUGAGGGGCUUACCUGAGAUCACCAAGAAUGGGCCUUUGACCUCUGAGCAAUGUCUGACCAAAGCAUUUCUUCUUUCCCAAAUGGAAGAUGUCUUUUCUACCUUGGAGCCUGUUUGCCUGGGUUUUCAAGGUCAUUUCAGCAGUGCAAAAACUCUGCAGUUCUGUGAAAUGUCUUCCAGAUCCAAGCACUGAGUUGAUUGCUGUUCUGUAGGCAGAACUGUCGGGUUUGAUCAGGGCUUCCCCCACAAACCUUUCUCUAUCAAAGAUAAGAACUUUUAAUACAGAUUAAACCCCACAGCAGCAAAUUCCAGGAGACUGUCUAGGUUCAUCACUUGUAUUAGAACAUGAUGGCACCAAAGUAUUGACUGGGGCUUAGAGAUGUUAAACAGAGAUCUUCUGGUAAUAGUUUUUAUAAGAGGAUUUGAUUAGAGGAUAAAAUGGAUGAUUUUGGCAAACUUGUGUCUUUGCACUAACUUCUUUAAAACUAGAGUAAAUAAGUAGAUAUUUUUAUUUUAUUCCUUUGUAAUGUAUAAUUUCAUAUAUCAUUACAUAAAGUCCCUCUUGGUUCUCAUCAGAGAGAUUUUUCCUGCUUUUAAAGGAAUUGUAUCUAUGAUUUCAUUCAAUGUUAUUUUUUUCAGUCUUCGCAUUUUAAGCAGGACUUAACCCUCACAGGUUGGAAUGCUUAAUCCAAUUUCAGGUAUCAAUGUUAGUCCACUCAGAAAUCAACAUAUCAUUAAACCACUGGGAUUCACGUGUGAAAAUACAAGGGCCAGUGGUGGAAGGGCAUCUGUCUACAUCGUGUGCUCCUUGGACCAUGCUAAGUGGAGAUUACCAGAGUGUAGAGAAGAGAGCAUUUGGUGGGGACAUUGGCACCCUCUGGGCACCUUUACAUUUCUGUGACAUCCACACUGGUGCCUGUCACAGAGGGGCAGUGAGUCAGCACAAGGUGCUGCAGAACAGGCCAUCUUGAGCAGAAAGCCAAAGUGGGCCCAUUUGUUUCUUGGGCCUCUCAAAGAGCACAGUCCCCCCACCCCCACCACCUUUAGAAGUAAGUCGUUUGACUUGCUUGAACAAUGGUGUGUAAAGAACCUCUCUGUUCAAUUGGUGCAGUGCGAUGCCAGGGGCUCAGCUGACUUAAGCACUGUUGAGCUGCGGCCCUGACACCACUGUCUGUCUUCUGUCCCUCUCUGCCGGCCUCUCCCCAAGCUCAGCGCAGUGUCCUGCACCUGGUGGGGACUCAAUACAGUUUUGUUGAAUUGAAAUGGGUCCUUCAUUGCUGGUCCUUAUAUUGCUGCCCCAGGGGUGGGACCAUCACAAAGGGCCUUCCAUGGCGCCAUUGACGGCUCUGAAUCAGUCAUUAACACAUCCUCAGACAUCUCCAGUAUUGAUGUGGCUGCUCACUCCACCCCUCGCCAGUCAGCACAUCUGCACUGUCACUGGCACAAAGGACAGAGCCAAGGAGGCCCUGGUGGGAGCCUGAUAUAAUUCCCCAACAAACCCCUUACUGUCUGCACAAGGCUGCUGAUGCAACAAGCUCCACGCAUCUGCGGCUGUGGAAAUGUGUUUCAUCUUGAGCUUUAGGUCAGUGUUAAUAUAUUUUUAUUAAUAAGCCUCUGCAGGGUGUGGGAUAUGAAAUCAGCUUUAGAACUGUAUGAUAUCUCAUGGAGUUGCCUGGCUGAUUCCCACCUUCACUUUUACAGAGAAGCAAAUGGAAGUGUGAUCCAAAAUGAAAUUUGAUUUUUUUUUUUAAAGGAGUGAAGACUGUGUCUUUUCUGACUUUCAAAGAAACCAAGCAAAUUCAAACUGGACUCCAAUGAUAACACAUUUAAAAUCAUUUGUUGAGCUCUUCUUUGCUCCAGGGAAUAAGAGGAGGAGGGGGAACUUUCAGGUUUCAGGGGAAUGCCAACCCAUGUCAAGGGUUAAAGAAGCCACAUGUCUUAGGUCUCAGCACAGAUCCAGGAAUAGGCCAGGAGAGGAAAAGGAACAGGAGCUGGAAAGAGGCCCAUCAAGGAAAAUGGCACGGCUCCGCUUCCCCAGGACUUAGCUCUGAGUUUCACUGAUGGGAACUUUUGAGGCUAAUUUAUCAGUGGGUUCCUAAUCCCUCCUUACCCGAAGAUAGCAAAGGAAAUGGUGACCACAGAACACCCACAGAGGGAGAAACAGGAGACCUGUAUUUAUCCAAAUGAAUUUAGUCUGCAGUUAAAUGUUUUCAGGCCAAAACUUCUGCCUUGUGGUUCAGGGUAACUGGAGCCCACUGGGAGCUCCCUGUUUAGGCUGGGCUUCAAGCAGCCACCAUUGCUCCGCUAUCCCUUGGGCCUGCAUCACACAUUCAGAGCAAUAUCUGCCUACCAAGGAGCAAAUUCUCUAUGUCCAGGUGCUCUAGAGAGAGACAUGAACUGUAGAGAGCAACUGCCUUGCAGCCCUCCCAACCUGGUGAAAAACUAGGACUGCAUUUCCUCUUUUACCAUCUACCCCAUCCCACUUGAAUCAGUUCCCCAGCCAUGAAGCCUUCCACCAUGCCGGGGGACAUUUCAGUGUUUUGCAGACCCAUCCUGCCUGGGUCCCAUGCCGAUUCUCUACCCUACCUGCCUGCCUGCCCUGCCUGCCUGAAGGGGCCCUGCUGGUCCCUGGCUCAUCUCCCUGCAAGAACAAGACCACCAGCCUCCCUGGCACUGGGCAUGGCCUGAUGGGAUGGGAGAGGCUGUGCGUUCUUUGACUGAAAACACAUUCCGCUACCACAGCCAAGAUCAGCCUGUCACAUUUAAACCCAGGUCAGCGGUGCAGCUGUUAAAAACAAGGGACUAGUAAUAGAUAAAUGGAGAAGGAGACACCAUAUAUAGACCCUGCCCCUCCACAGACACCACCCUCUGAGCACUUCUGCCCACUCCUGACCUCCCAAGAGGUGGAGGAUACCUUUUUUCCUUUCUUCCCCACCUGGAGGAAUGACCAGCCUCUGAGACACUAGCUUCCCCCUGCCCAGCAGCCUACCCUUCGAGUCCUUGCUUUCCUGUACCAGCUCUGGCAGUAUGAAGUUACAUUCCCUCCAAGAAAUACCCCACUCCUGACACGAGAGCUGGCCUUGUCCUCAUUCCCUUACCAGCACAGCACCACUGGCAUACAGCACAUUGCUGCAUGAAGGACCUUUUGGCACAAGAACUCUCCCAUCAAUCUCACUGUCACUUUCCAAUCUCCCCCUUUUAAGGUUGACUCAGGUGGCCAGCAUAUUUCUCAAGACUGGGUCAUUUGGUCAACACAAAGUGUAUGUGUGUGUGCAGUAUCCAGAGUCCAGGCCUCCUGUAAGGAACUUCAGCCAAUGCAGGGCUUGGUUUGCCACCUUCCCAGAGUCCUCAGGGUUUCCGCUCUUACCCCAUGGCUAGUUGCCUGAACGGGGAAACACACCCGUCCACACACAUAGCUGAAUCCCUGUACUAGAGCCAGCAAUGGUGUUCUACGGCAUAGCCCCAGCCACGUUCCUAUAAAGGAACAAAUGCAACUCACAACCCAGAUAAGAUCUUAAACUAAUAAAAAGAUAACUGCUGUCAUACACAGUUUUUGUAAUCACAUGGAUCAAAAUAUUCUUAAUUCCAGCAGUCUUUUGUUUAAGAGUGUUGACCUGAUCCUAGAGCCUGACCCCAGGCUCUCCUUCAUCUUGGCCACUCUAGAGAUGAACUUUCCUCUUCCUGAUGAAAUGCUCUCAGAGAAGCCAUGCCCCUUAUUACACAGUGACUAGGAGGCAGAAUCAGGAUUGAAUGCUGGACACUUACUUUCUUCCACAGUUGGGCAGAUGUUUUUCAAAAUAAGGAAAUUAUUUGCCCCAAAGAUCCUUCCACUGACAUCCAACCUUGGAGCCAUUUGGAAGCUGAGAGGUAACCUGCUGAAGUGUCUGAAAAGAGAAGUUUGAAGUCCAGCCAAGCUUGGUUUGAAGCCUGACUCCAGGUUUUACCAGCUGUGGGACUACAGGCAAGUUUUUGAACUUUUCUAGCCCAUUUUCUGAUUCGUACCUUAUCUGUGCAAGUGGGACAAUAAUACCUUCUCUUUGGGAUCAUGGCAAUUAGAGAUAGUAAAGAUAAAGCACCCAGCAGUGCACAGCCUGUGGUAGGUGCUCUCAGUGGUAACCACCUCUCCCACCCCUGUGUUUUAGCAUUUGGAGUUGGACUUAUAAGAAUAUUUUAAUUCAACAUAAUGUUUUUGUGUGAGUGAAAGUACAAGUUAAUAAGUCAAGGCUAAGGGAAUCUAAGCCAAAAUUGGGUGUCCAAAAUCAAGACUCACCUGAUUUUUUCUAACUCUCCUGACUGAGGGAUUCAGGCCUUUGUACCACCACUACCCUCACCUGCAGAACAACCCCAGAACCCUGUUUAUUUGUUUCUCACUUCCUUAGAAUAAGCUCACACUUGCUCCAUGACACUCCGCUGCAAGAAAUUCAUUAUCAUGUUUUCCUAAGUUAAACACACGAGCAUUUGUUCCUUAUUGAAUAAUAUAAUAAAGAGGGCUCACAAAACAUCAUGACUGGGCCAAAUAAAAACAAAUUAAAAAUAUGUGUGACUUCAUGCCCCUGCUGACUUGUCAUCUUCAGAGGAUGACAUCCACCUUGAUGAGGUUGUGCAUGUCCUGGAGGGCAGACCACAACCUCUGAGACGGGCUCUCGUGGUCACUGCAGUGUUGUGUACCAUCUCAACGUGAUAAUCCAGGGACAUACACAGCAUCCUUGACUGCCAUGGUGUCCCUCCCUGCCUGGUCAGGCCCCAGGACCUGCCCACUGGCUUCUGUGGCAAUGGCCCCUAGAGUUCAGUCUCCAGCUCCCCAGGGCUUCUCCAGGAGUGUCAGGGAGCAAAGCCCAAGCCUCCUCCAAUUACAGAUCCCUUUUCCCAGGCUCCCCUUUGCCUGUCCAAGCCUUUGAAAUGCCACCUGCCUUACCUAGCUAGCUCUUUCUCUGUAGAGUUUGAAAAUAUAACCAUCAGAAACCUCUUAACCUGUCUCCGGAUCUCAAGAAGUCCCUUGCAUUCUGCCUCCCAGCUCGCCCCCAGGAGAGGGGAACAAGAAACCUCUCUCAUGCUUUCAUGAUCUUCCUGCUGGCCAAGAUGAGGCAGCCAAGUUAAUACUUUAGUCCAGGGAUCCUGGACAUAAGUUCAUAAGAAAUCUUAUUAGAGGUCUCAGAAACCUCACUGACUGGCAGCCCCUGUGUCUGCAUCUGCCCAUGCACAGGAACCUUCACGUUGUGUCCCUAUAAGAAUCACUCCCAUUUUCCCAUUGAAGCCUCACAUCCCUGGGAGAAAGGUACAUGGUAGGUAGCAGAGAGCGGCUUUAGAUGUGACAGUGGCCCAGGGUCCAGCUUGGAGCCACCUGACCCCACCAAACCCUAGAGUAGGUGAAGGGGACCCUCAAUGCUAAGGAUCAAAACUGAGGUGCUACAAGAGAGUUUUAAGGGCAAACCCAAGAUUUUGUUGAUUGAAGCUAUUGAGGAGCCAAGGAAAAUGAGCCAGUUUUUCCCACGGUCGUGUCCAGCUCCCUGCUGUUGCGUCCCCCAGAUGUGGGAGAUGGUGAGCAAGGGGGUGAGAUCCCACACAGAUGGGGGCCUGGACACCAGGCAGGAACAAAGAGAAUCAGCAAGGAAAGGCAAUUUGAUUACCAGACAGUUCUGUUUAAACAGGAUGGGGUAGGAUAUCAAGAGGGGGAAAAAAUCAGUGCCCGGAAGGAAGAAGGGAUUUAAAAAUAAAAGAAGUGACAUUAAAUCCAGAGAAGUAACCCUGCCUUCCUUUUCCAGUAAAGUGUUGCUUUUAAAAAUCUGGAUCUAACACAGAGAAGGCAAAUGGAUCCUUCUCUACAUAGCACUUAGGGCAGCUACUGCAGAUUGAUUGGGCUUGGCAUCUGAGGUGAAAUUUGAGACCUAAUCAACGCUCAGCGAGAGUCUUAUAAUUGAUUGUUAAUGUCUGCCAAGGGCAUGAAAAGGAGGAGGAUUUAAUCAAGUACUAUGCAUUUGCCAUCUUUUCUAACCGGUAUUUUUCAAAUUCUCCUAUCAGUUCCCAGCUACCCCAAAAUAUUUUCAUUUAAACAAACAAACAAACAAACAAAAGGCAAGCAUAGCUGACUCUACUAAAGCAGUAGAUUAACCUGGCCCUUCAUUUAAUCAUUGAUUCAUUGAUUCAGAAAGUUACUGCAGGGUUGGACACUGUGGCUCAUGCCUAUAAACCCAGCACCUUGAGAGGCUUAGGCAGAAGAAUCACUUGAGCCCAGGAGUUCAAGACCAGCCUGAGCAAUAGAGUGAGACUCCCAUCUAUACCAAAAAUUAAAAAAUUUUAGCCAGGCAUGGUGGUACACACCAGCAUUCUCAACUACUCGGAAGGCUAAGGCAGGAUGAUCACUUGAGCUCAGGAGGUCAAGGCAGCAGUGAGCCAUGAUCAUGCCACUGCCCUUCAUCCUGGGUGACAGAGUGAGACCCUGUCUGAAAAAAAUCGUUCCUGCAUGUUGCCUCUUCAAAAGGUGCCAGGUGACUGUGUUAGAGAAUGCUGAAAAGAAAACACUUGCUGCUUCAGACACCUUACAGUCUAAAUCAAGAGAUAGAAUAUGAAAUACGGUUGAUUACCACACAAGAAAACACUAAGUAUCAUACAAGGCCGUCUAAAAUAAGCACGAGACUGAGCUGCUCAGUGUUGUAGGUAUUUGUUCAGCACCUGAUGAGUACUUUUAAAGUGUUGUGCUUUUGUUCUUUGUUUUGUAAAGUUUUGAAAGCAUAUAGUCCUUUUCACGCAAAUGGCACAAAAGGUAAUAUUUUGGGUAAAGGAAGAAGGCAGGGAAAGUUUCUGACAGGUCAAGAAAAUUGAGUAUGGAGGCCUUUGACAAAAGCUGCAAAUAGAACCCAGAGUGUAUCAUUUCUUUCUGUCAAUGAUACUUGGUCAUUUUUGACAUAUGGCUUGUUUUUCUGAAAUUGGGUUGUUUUGAGACAGGAUUCUGUGAACUAUAGCCUUGGGGAUAGAAUCUCUACAUGCUUUGGGAUAAUCACCUCAUUUUUUUAAACAAGUGGUAUUUACCCAACUGCAGUAACCUAAGACAGAAUACCCUCUGGUUAAGAAUUAAAGAGACGGGCUAAACGCUCCAUUGAAUAGUCUGUUUAUGUAAGAAAACCAAGUUACUUUAUGAAGUCAGAUUGUGAUUUUCUGUCACUUUUCCUCCCUUUGGUCUCUGGAAAAGAAGUCGAGCAGAUGAUUCAGCCGAGUCCAGCCAGGGCUGGGAAUAGACUUUUUGGACGAUACCUUGUAUUUCCCUGCUUUGUAAGUGCAGUCUGUAGUGUGACAUAAAAGUCUGGUGGGUUUAUUCUGUGUAGACCACCUAUGGUUGUGGCUGUGGGGUUCGUGUGAGACAGCUGCACACCUCAGAGUAGUACUCUGUGGACAAAGAGCGGGGGAUGGGGGUUGCUAGGGCUCGGGACCCUAGGCUGCCACUCCCAGCCCUUCCUGUGAGCCUCCAUGUCCCUGCCAGACCCUUCCUGGAGCUGUGGCUUGAAAAUGGAGGCAUCAGGACUGACUUGCAGGUAGUGAGGGGGAGGGUGUGGGGCUGAGGAGAGAACAGGCGGUGAGCAUGCCUGAUAGCCUCUUUCUUGCUGGGAAGCCAGGAAUAUUAAUAGCUUCAUCACAUUAAUCUAAAAAGAAGGCCUAUAAAGUCCUGACACUCCCUGAAGACAGGCCCUGCUUCCUUAAUCCUCCUGGAUCUUUCCAGGUCAGAGCAGCUCAGCGCCCUUCCCCCUGGAGGCUAGUGGAUCAGUCUCCCCAGGCUGCCAGAGUGGGCCUCCCGUCUGUGGCUGGGAGAGGCCAGGUUUCUGAGUUGGGUUCUCAGCUUCUUUUGCUUUUAAAAUGGCCUCCUGUGCUCCCAUUUCCUGUGUGGCCCCACAGGCAUCCUUGUUUCAGGCUCUCUUUUGGUCUGUAUUCUUCAGCCUCAUAGCACUUGGUGAUGCCAUCUGGCCUGUUGUCUGUCACUUGACCCUCACUUCAGCACUGGGGUGUGCAGAGCACAAGAAGGAAGCCGCCUGCCUGCCUGCUGCCUGGGGGCCCAGAAAUGAAGCGAGGCUUGCAGGGAGGUCCUUCUGUUUCCUGUGUAUUUUCUGCCCUAACCCCACCCUGCCCCCACAACCCAUCGUGCCUGAGUCCCAGCCACCUACCCUCAACCUGUCCUUGGUGGACACUCCUUUUGCUGCUUUGCUUUCUGGAGCCCAAGUCUUGUGAAUUCUACCUUUAAAAGUCUCAGUGCUGACCAGUCCUUUGCACCCCUGCUGCCCUCACCCUCCCCUCUCCACCCGCAGAAUCAACCUUUCACGCUAGGACCAGUCACCUCCCCACAGAAGGCAUUUGAUGACAGCCUCCUCCAAAAGGGGUCAGGCCGGUCACUCCACAACUUCCAGUGUCCACCCCAUCGGGUGCUGACAGUCCUCAGAUAUGCCACACAGCGGCCCAUCAUGGGCCAGCACUGACCAUCCCAGACCCCUGGGGGCCCUCCCUUCCCUCUCCUCUUCCCUCCCACCCUGAGUCGUUCUAUAAGGCCCAGAUGACUCCUCCACUGAGGGGCUCUCCUAAAUUUCUUCUGCUUGAAAGAAUUCCUCCUCUGUAUUCUGUAACGUUCGGCACCUCUCUUUUGUCCAUCACCUUACCCUGCGGUUUCAUAUACUUGCCUUCCUCCCUCUCCAGGUCCUCAGCCUCCUAAGGGGAGCAGCCAUUCCUUGUUCUUCCCCAAGAGUCUGUGGAAUGGAGUUGAAUCUGUUCUGUCGGGUUGGCUUCCCACCUCUGCAGGGAAGGUGAAUGGCUUCAGGCUUCUUAGGUCAGGGUGACUUCACGGGGUGUUUUUAAAUGUGACUUGAAAAUUUGGGAAGUGACCUUACAUUGUCAGUCACUAAAGCAGAGGUAGGAAAUUGAGGUGCUUUUUCAUCACAUUUUGCUUCGCCAUUUCUGAGGAGGGUUCUGUUGUGGUGCCCCUGGAAGGGCCCUGGGUCAGACGAUGCCAGGGGCUUCAUGAAGGCUGGCCAGCAUCCCCACUGUCCCAGCCCAGCCCAACCUGCCUUUUGUCCCAUCCUCGUUUCUGUAUGCUCCUCCUUGCUUCUGUGCCACUGCCAGCAUGCCCUCUCCAAGGGGUUUGUGGGUCCAGUUCUAAGGCAUGGCUGUCCUUCUAGGGAGGAGGUCCUUGUCCAUUUAGAGGGAGUGAAAUGGGAGCUCAGAAGUCAGAGGAAGCUAUUCAUUCCCAGAGAAGUACUUUAAGGCGGCAGGUGUGUUGUUUUUGUUGUUUUUAAGUGAGACAAAUGUGCUUUUCAAAAGACUCCGUGUGUGUGCUUACACCCCUGAGUCUGCUUGAACAUCUAACACCUACCAGCUCCCUGACAAGAACAUUUGUGGCAGAUAAAAGGCAUUAAAAAGUCCUAAGAGUGAAGCGGGAUGAGUCACCGAGAGAGUGAGCCUGCCAGAGCCUUUGAGAGCAGCGGGUUGCAAAGUUUGAGUCUCUUCCUCGUUUGUUCCCUCCUCGUGCCAAGCUAGGGCUCACGGGUGGGUGUGAUCCUCUCCCUUCCUCGGGCCCCUACACCUACAGACCUCCCACCACCUGCAGAGCUCUCCAGCCCACAGCACGCCCUGCUGGGCUCACCCGGUGCCUGAGGGUUUUGCUUGCCAGCUGGGGCUGUGGGAACCAGCCGUGGGCUGCUUUUGCCCUAUAUGAGGAGACGAUGAGACUGAGCAGAGAGUCACUGUUUGUCACCCUGCAGCAUUCAUCACAGCACAAGGAAACAGCAGGGCGGUGUCCCCCUCUCCCCCAACACCCCCUCCCACCCCCGCCUGGAGAGAUGAGAAAACUGCUUGCAAAACGGCUGAGAAAAUUUGCAGCAGAGGCUCACAGGGAAGAGUGGGCUCAAAGCACCAGUGGCAGGCAGCACCUCUAUUCUCAUCUAUGCAGAGCCACUCCGCUUUCUAGUGCCAGGCGAUCGCCUCACGCAGCCGCACCCUCUUUGACUUUCAGCACUGGGUGCCUCUUUACACUCAAGAGGGAGGAGGACAUGCCCAGUCUUCUGUGGAGCUGGGCAUCUCUGUGGCAGAAGCUGGGAAGUUUUGCAGAGCCUGCUGCUUUUUGAGGUCUUUCUGUAGUUCUCAGAGCAGAUUUAAGAAAUGUGGGUUCACCAGUGAGAUUGGCAGGAGAAGGGGAUACUACCAUUUAUAGGGGCGGCGAAUGCCUAGAGAUUUGGUGGGAGAUGUGUUUGGAGAGUAAUGAGGAUGAGUGGCUUGAUGGGGAUGUGGGGGUUGGUGCAGCUGGGGAGUCUUGGAACCUGCUGAUCCAAGGUGCCUGGGAGGGCUACUGACCGCACCUGUUGUCUGUGUAUCGGCUCCUCAUUAGAGCCCAUUGCCUGUUCUUUCAGGGGCUUAAUUGAAAGGAAGUUUGAACCACAGGCUUGUCUUUCACCCGAGUCUCAUGGGCACCCAUGGGUCAGAGCUGCAUGGACACACCUGUGUCCAUCGAGAGGACAGAAACUUCACAGACCUUCAGUUACGUGUGCCCCACUCUUGCUAAAGUAAAGGCUUUUGAAGUGUUGGGCCCAGCCAAUGCCUUGAUCUGGAAGUGCUUUAGGGUACACCCUACAUGUGUUCGGGCAAUACCUGGUGUCCCCGGAAGUCGUGUUCCCCGUGCUAUUUUGUAUUCUGAGGUCAAGCUCCUCUGAAGAGCCACUAACUGCCUUUGGAUGGGUUUUAGGACAUUUAGUCAUGGGUCAGACUGUUGAGCCUCCAUGGCUGUGAGAAUUCCAGGGCUCUAAGCUGGCCCUGCCUGCAUCAGGCUGUGGUACUGAAAUGCAAUUAAACAUGGUAAGCAGCUCCCUUUACCCUUUCAAGUCACAGUGCUGACUCUUGCAAAGAAAUAUACAAAUAAAAAGUGUUUGCAUUUUUAUUUAUGUAGAAGCAGGAGAUGGCAAAUUUUAAACCCUAUUUUCAAUCAAACCUGGAAAAAAAAAUGUUAAGAUUCGAGUAACUAGUUGGAACCUUGCCUCUCUCCUUUCGUUUCUAUAUAGGUCUGUUUUUUCCUGAUUGCCAGACUCAGUAAGAGAAGGAAGUGUGUGUGUAGUCAGUGUAUAGAGUUCCUGUUACCUGUUAGACCGUAAUAGCCCCACCAGACAUGCAGAAAUGGAACUUGAUUUAUUAUAAAACUUGAAAGAAUCAAAAAGGGAAGAAAAGAAAGAAAAGCAAAGAAACUAGCCACAGAUCUGCCGCAUCAAACAGCCAAUCAGUAUGCCCAGCAGCAUAAAAACAGCACGUCUGCAGCCAGCUGGCAGCGGAGGGGGAAGCAGGCUCCUCUACCUGCUUGUUCAUUUGACAGGAGCCUUGAGAACUGCAUCCUUUAUUUGGGUCUCAAACAAGGAUAGUCGUUUGUAGAAAGGGUUUUAUUUUUUAAGCGCUUUUUCGGGUACGGUGUUCUUCACCACCAUACUGCGGUUUACGCAGGAAGUUAAUUGCUCUAUUCUUUUACAUUGACCUUGAGAGGAUUUUCUAUCUAAGAAAAGUGACAUUUUGGUUUUCUAAUUUAGAAGCACAAAGGAAGUUGAGAGAUACAGUGUAUGAGCCUGAUUCACACUUUGGGGAAAAGUGCUCUGGUGAAAUUAUACACUCUUGGAACUGGGAGCAAAGAUAACAUUAUUAGACUUAGGCGUGAAAUAUGAUUAAUGGGAAAACAGGGAUAACGCCGAUGCCCCUUCGUGUGCAUGGCCAGCUAGCAUUUCAUCCCUGAAAACUUGUGUGGUUGAAGUGCUUGAGUGAACACCGGUGAAGGUCUGUGCUCACAGUUCUGACUUCCCCGGCAGUCACAAGCAGUACUAGUAACGCUUUACCUACAGUUUCAAAGCACGCUGUUUUAGAAAAGGAGGACCCAUCCCCCAAUAAACACACUAAUAGAAAUGCCAGCCCUUGGAGGAGGAGGGUCACUGCAAGAUGAAUUAAUGGAUAGAAAAGAGAAGAAUCCUGAAACUUGGUGGCCUGGAGGGAUGGAGAGAUUAAACUUGCCUGAAUUAAUUGUCAUGCUGAAGCCAUUUCACAAUGUAUAUGUAUCUCAAAACACGACAUUGUGCACCGUCAGGAUGUUCAGUUUUUAGUUAUCAACACAAAAUAAAUGAAAAAAUCAUGCUGGCAUCUUUUAAAAGGAUAGCCAGGGCUGGGCGCAGUGGCUCACACCUGUAAUCCCAACACUUUGGGAGGCCAAGGCGGGUGGAUCACGAGGUCAAGAGAUUGAGACCAUCCUGGCCAAUGUGGUGAAACCUCGUCUCUACUAAAAAACAGAAAAAUUAGCUGAGCUCGGUGGCACAUGCCUGUAGUUCCAGCUACUAUGGAGGCUGAGGCGGGAGAAUCACUUGAACCUGAGAGGUGGAGGUUGCAGCAAGCCAAGAUUGCAUCACUGCACUCCAGCCUCAGGCGACAGAGCAAGACUCCAUCUCAAAAAAAUUAAAAAUGGAUAACCAGUUUGGCUUGGCGUGUCAAGCUGACGGGCGGCUUCCUGUUGGAACCCAUUCACUCCCUGGCUCAGGCAGGGGCCGGUAGCUCAUGAUGCCAGCACAGGCUUCCGGGACACAUUUUGAUGAUACUUUGCAGUACUCUCACCUCUCAGUUCGAAGACCCAGAGUUCUUACUCAGCUGACAGAAAAAGCCACAUGUAAAACUCAAUCAUUUUGGAAUGAUAAUGAUGGAGGGACAAGGGUGAUCUGUGGCUGUCAUCCUCUACCCCUCUGGGGAAUAUGUGAUGUCUUCUUCUCCUCAAAGAAGAAUAAAAGGCGGGGACAGGACUUCCCCUGGGGUUUAGUGUGGUGGCAGGUGCCACCACAUACACUCUCUAAAUUACUAAGGGGCUUCUGCAGCAAUCCGAAAUGCAAAACAAACUUGAAAGUAAUUUAUCUUCUUAUCCACAUCAAGAUCAGGAUAACAUUUGUGUGUGUUUUUAUAUACUUGAAGUAAAAAUUAGAAUAGUCAAUUAACCCUAUUAGGAAACUUUAAUACUUCCAUUUAAAAAAUACUGUCUUCACUCUUUUCUUCGAAAAGCUCCACAAAUUACUGCUUACUUUUAGAUUCUCUCCUGGAUUUUAAUGUACCUUCUAGGCAUUAAAACAGGAAUAACUCUGAUAUCCAUCUGAUAUUUGGAAAUGACAUUUACUGGUAUAAUUUGUUAUUCUGUUAUUGCUAUAAUUGCCAGCACUCAUUUGUUCAUUCGUUGUGGUGUGAAAAACAAAAUUGAUGAAAGUUUAUUUUUCUCUCCCUCUCCAGACCUGCCCUAUCUGCCAGUUCUCUCCGCAAAACACUCUGGAAUGAAGGAUGAGAUUGGACUUCUCAGUGUGUGUCCAGAACAAGGAUGGAGAGGCUCAGCAGCACUGACAGGACCUCCUCAUGAAAUGGAAGCACAUCCAGGCUGGAGGCCCCUGUGUUCCAGGUGCUGUGUCGGUGCUGACCUGCCCGGUGACUCCAUGAUGGCUUCUGUCUUCAAGGUCACCAUCAACUGAAACAGACUGAAGAGGUAAAUGGUAAUGGAAGGACACGAAAGGUACAAGAGUCAGAGGCCAGGCCAAGAAUGCAAGCUGAGCAAGGGGCAAGGAAGUCCUCCUUGAUGGCUGGCUCCAGAACUGGGACUGCAGAAAGAGGAGUUUUCUGGAUAGAAAGGGAUGUGGACCUUCCAGUCAGGUUCAGUUCCACAGAAGCAUGCACAUGUCGUAUGCUAGGGGGGCACAACUGCACCACUGGGCAGGGGCAGGCUGGCAAAGAGGCUGCAGGAUCCGGGACUCACUCUAUCCUGAGGCAGUGGGGAGUUUAGGAGAGGGUGAGUCAGAUCAGCAUGGAGUUAGCCUAGAGUCAGGAAGAUGAGUUAGGAGGUCUGACAGUCUAUUGAAGUAAAAUUAUUCAUUACAGAACAGCACUGUGUAUGUCCCUAAAAUACUUGGUGCCAUAUUUAUUCUCUUGAAGGAUUAAUCUGAGGAGUUAGAAAAGAAUAACUGGGCCAUUGAGUCUCGGUCAAAAUGAUUCAUUCAUCCAACCAGUAUUCAUCAAGCAUCUCCCACAUGGCCAACACUGGGGACGCAGGGAUGAGGCUGGAGUCAAGUGGAGAAGACUUCACUCGCAUGCCAUGAGAAGUGCUUUGAAGGAAGAGGAUCAGAUACCUGUAGAGCAUGUGACAGAGGAGUCAGGUCUGGUCUGGGGUUAGGAGUCCAGGAAGUGACCAGAGUUGAAGCUUGAAGGAGUUGGUAUUCAACAUGCAGAACUGGGAAAGAGGCAUUCCAGGCAGAGGAAGCAGCUUGUGUGAGGGCCCUGGGGUGGCAGGGAGCAUGGUUCAUAUGAGAAGUUAGGAAAGCACAGAGAGAAAGGAGGAGAACAGGGAGGCUUAGGGGAGGAAGGGGUGUGAGGCUUUGCCAGGCCUGGACCUGCCCUUUAAGGUGCCAAGUCCUUGCAAGCAUUUAAAGAUAAAACAUGACAGCCAUUUGUUGAUGAUUUCUUGGUCUCUCUGUGUCCUCCUGGGCACUGGUGGAUUCUCAACAAAACCAAAAAGUGGAGUUGGCUGCAGAUGAGUCUGUUCAUGGCCUCAGCUUCUCACCUAUUCCUGAGUCACGUUUUGCCCCUCUGACACAGGGAUGGGAUAACGCCAGGACAUGGGUUUGUGGUGUUUAACUUACGGGAGUUUGUACAGGUUUUACCUGGUACCAGCAUGACCUUCCCAUGUGCUCUCUUGGUCAGCAAUUCACAGUCUCCUUGCUUUAUUUUACAAGGAGUUAAUCCUACUUUCUGGAACUUGCUCAUUCUCAAAGUGAGUGGUGGUUGGUCCCCAAGACAGUCCACAGAAAUUCCAGCCCCAUGGGAAAGAAAAAAUUCCAGGUCUCUACCUGAUGCUUGGAAAACCAACCAUUAGUCAACACCAAUGCUCAUCAAAUAUGCACAUUUAUCUAGUAUUUGCGGCAUGCCCAGUUUUCUGAUCUUAUUAUUAUACUCUUUUGCAGAUAAUAAAACUGAGACCCAGAAAUUUUCAGUAAUUUGCCUUAAAACACAGGUAGGAAGAAGUAGAGUCAGGUUGCAUACCAGACCCACCUGUUUCCAAAGUCCCAGCACUUAACCAUGGUGCCACACAACUGCCCACUCAUCUACACUGCUGGGAGAGCAGUCUCCCAGCCUGCAGGGCCGGAGGUGUGGACUUAGCAUCUGCUCUGGGCUCGCCUUCACAGAUAAGCAAUCUGAACAGGGAGAGGCACCUGGAUGUGUCCACGUCCACCAGGGAAAGGCAGCUGCACUGGAGCUGGGUCCCCUCUCCACCCCGGCUCCUCCUGCUGCUCAUUGACUGCAUGAGUGCCUUCAUCCUACAGAACUUUCCAUUCCUGACCCAGUGAGCAGCGAUAGAUGAUGACCCUCAUGGAGUGAUGAAGAUUCAAGAAUUUCAGGAGUGUGAAGUACCUAGAACGUCUGGCACUUCUGCCCCAGUACACAGUAGCUGACAUCUGGUCCCAAGUCCUUCCUCGGAACCUGGCAGGAAGAACUUGGCCUGGGAACCUAGCUUCCCAGCCUGGGAUUCUGUGGGCCACAGAGGCCCAGUGUAGAGAUUAUAGCCUAACAUCCCAGCAGAGAUUCUUUGAUUGCAGAUAGGAAAAUCCAGACAUUUCUGAACUCCAAGACCACGGUGAUUCAUAUGGCCUGGUGAUUAUGAUUGAUGAAUUACUCAAAGUUUCUGCUUCCCCCAACUCUCCAACUCUGGCAAGAACUUUGGCAGAACUUCUAUGCCACAUCCAGUACUAGGAACUUGCCAAGUUUGUGUCCUUAAAAUAAAGUGGGUUCCAAGAUAGAUGGCAGAAAGUGGGAAAUGUGAUUUUUCUUGAUUGGGUAACUAAGAAGCACACAGCAGGCAGGAGCCAUUUUGGGCCAAAGAGCUGUUCAUUUAAAGUGUUUAUUGACACCUGAAAAUAGGGAUUAAACUUCAAAUGCUAUUUUCAUGUCAAGUUUAUGCUAUAUAAUUUCAUAAUGGUGAUGAAAUCCAGGCAGAUACCAAAAGGAGAGUUCCCAAGUGAUCUUACUGCUGGGUUUCCCUAUUACAGACACUCAGGAUCCUGGACCAGCUGAAGCCAGGGGAGGAAGCACCCCGGCAGAUCACCUGCUGAUGGAAAGGCAGGCACCAUGAUAGUUAAGUGUUUACAUGUUGGCUACCUGGUUUCUUUUCAGCCAGUCUCAGCUUUGGUUGGUUUGUAUGAUUGCCUCAAAUCUUCGGAGGUCACCCUUACUUUUUAUUUGGAAUGUGUUCCCCGCUCUAGAGGACUGAAUCAGAGAGAUUGCUCUGCAUUCUUGAGGGGUUCCAUUUUGACCCUGCUCAUCCUCAGUAGACAGGGAGCUAUUCCAAGCAUGGACUUGCAGGUCUGGGGACCUUGGACAGCAUACAAAUCGAGAGGUGAGAGACGGCCGAGGCAAAGUUCCUACUCAGAACUUGCAGUAAGAACCAUCUCUGAUUUCUAUAUUUGACAACACAAUAAUGGGAUUCCCUGCAUUUCUCCCAGAAAAGCAUCAGUGGGGAAAAAACUUUGUUCUGGGAGGUGCAGUGACCACCAAAUACUAUGAAGGCCCAUCAGUGGACACACUCAAGCUGUGGAGGGCUCUUAGCGUUUGUUGAAGACAGAUCUUCCCAGAGAAAUACCAACACACAGCAGCACAGAGGCAUCUCUGUGCCCGUCGACCCACCCAGAGACCUCCCCAGCAUGGUGUGGUGGGGCAGCUGGUGUUGUGAAUCAGGCCGUUGCCAAUCAGAGAACGGCUACUUCACAACACCAGGGCCGCACCACACUACAGGCGGCAUUCUGGCUCCAGAACCAGCAAAGGCACCCACUGGCGAGGCAGCCACUCCCCCGCCACAGAGGACCAUCAGCUCUAGAACCCAGGCACGUGGCUUUCCAGGUCUGGGCUGGCUGCUGCAUCGCCCCUGCAGACACUGGCUUCCUGAGGCUGCUGUUUAUCCCCAACACAAAUGCUCCACUUUUAAAGAAAAGGCCACUCCUGGUAACAUUAGUUUCCUACAGAGAAAAUGGUGCUACCAGGCUUCCCACUGUGAAAAUGAAGUUAUGGGCCAUCAGGAGGGUUCAGUGCCACUCAAUUGAACAUUUCCUCUUAGGAGCCAAAACACACAGUGGUUGCAGAGCUGGGACCUUUGUUUUGAUACUCAGUGAUGGUAGCUUUGAAUAGGGCAAAGUAGAGGGAAGGGAGGACCUCGUAAUAGGAUAGGAUGGUGGCCUUAGGGGCACUCCUGGAGAGAGGAAGUCUCUUUGUAGCCACAUAUACAGGUGAUGCAUCUAUUUCCUAGAUGGUCCCAGGGUCCCUAGAGAGCAAACACCUUUCUUAGCCAGGGAGAAUUCCACAGCUGUACAUAAGCAUGUGUCCCAGUGACCUGACAGCUGGACAAGAACCAAGCAUGGGACUGCUCCUGGGGCACUGAUCUGCCAGACACUCCAUCAGGGGUAAUACUUUCCAUUACUUGUGCUGACAGAUGGGCUUCCUUUCCCCAGGUCCUUACAGCAUGGACCCAGCAGAGCUGGAAGACUAAUGAGGUCUCUAGAAUUUGGGUAGCAUUUUGUGCCUAACCUAAAUCUUAUAUAUGACAUCACCACUUUUCAGAGCCCAGGCCAGUUUUCAAGAUGGAGUGGCUAGGUUGGCUACUGUCCUUUUCAAAACACGAAUAAAAAGUAGAAUGUUCCUCUCACUCACUUUCUAUAGAACAGAGAUCCAGAGCUACUCUGAUUAACUCAGGCCCAGUCUGUAUAACCUCAGUGUUUGUAUAAGGUUCUUGCUGCUCUGAAAACCAGAGAGAUGGAUAAAAACAAGCACCACUCAAACCUUGCCUAGCACCCAGGUUAUAUAGAGCCUGAGUUAACCAGAGCCACCUGCAUCUGUGUCACCAAGUCUACUUCUGUAAAGUUCUGUCCCUCACCCCAUCCCCAUGUCAUUAAGGGUAUCUCUGAAAUUUGUACUAAAUUAUGAUUGGGGACAAAUUUCUUCAAAACAAAAUAGUCUGUUUUCAGAAAGGGUUUCUUGCUGUCUCCUGAGAAUUCAUCCAGUUACCAACUCCCCUACCACGAAUGGACUCUAAGCUAGAGCCACUCACGGUGUGGUCCAUGGGUGGCAACUUCAUCAUGCUGGAAAAGCAGGAUCCUAGGGACCACCAUGCACCUGCUGCAUCAGAAUCUCUGGAAGCCAACCCGGGCAACAUAGCAAGACCUCAUCUCUACAAAAAAUGUUUUUAAAAAUUAGCCAGAUAUGGCCGUACACUCCUGUAGCCCCAUAAGCUCCUCAGGUAACUGACGUGGGAGGACCUUUUGAGCCCAGGAGUUUGAGGCUGCAGUGAGCACAGAUUGUACCACUAUACUCCAGCCUGGGUGACAGAGCAAGACCCUGACUCAAAAAAAAAAAAAAAAAUUUCCAGUGGGGAUAGCAAGCUGGUAGGAAUUGUGUGUUACAGGCACUCCAGGAGAUGCUUCAGAACCACUUCUACCCCUUUUGGGUCUCCCUACAAUCUCUCCAGCUUCCAUUUCAACCUUCUCUCCUCUACACAUUAUAACCAGAAUGUUCUUUUCAAAAUGUACUUCUAAAUCAUGCGAAUGCCUCCCACUCCUGGCCUUAUAACUGCUUAAAGAGUUGUCCUGAUGCUAACUUCCGUGGGACCCAUGAAUGACAUGCACUCCCCUCCCCACUCCUGACGCACCCCUCCUCCCUUUCCAUAAGAUCCCUCUGGCCUCUAUCCCAGGGCCUUCAUUCAGCUCAGCCCUAUCUAGAAGGGUCCCAGUUGCCUCCAAACUCCAUCACUGAUACCUGACUGUCCUCCAGGUUUCAGACAGAGCUAACUCCCACUACCCAGAAAGCCAGAUCAGGUAACAGCUCUUCCAUACACUCAGCAAACUGAAUUCCAUCCCUUCAGAGCAUUCAUCUCAUUUUGUCAUUACUCAUUCAUCAUUGGGGGAAUCUUUGCUGAAUCUGUGUCUUUCUCACUGGUCAUAAGCUCCUCAAGGGCAGGGACAUCCAACUUCAUUCACUGCUGUACCCUCCAGCCUAGUUCAGUCUCUGACACUGAGUAGACACUGAAUAAAUCUGUUCAAUGAAUGGAUGAGCACAACCCAAGCCCAGUGUCCUUCAAGGUCAGACACUCUGGCUCUUUGUUGAAGCCCUGGGUCUUUGAUCCUUUCAGUGGCAUCAUCAUUAAUAGCAGCAGGCAAUAACAGAGUAGAAAUUGCCAGGCACUGCCCUGAGCCCUCCAUGUGCAUUUAGCCAUACACUUCAUGCCUCCAUUUCCUUCUCAUAAGCAGGAAGGUCAUGUAACCACCCUGUCAGGUAAGUACCAAGACCAUACCAUCCAUAUUGUUGGUGAUUAGUGUCACUGCUCUUUAAACCCAGGCACUCUGGCCCCAGAGCCCAUGUACUGAGCCACUGCUCCCUGCUGCUGAGGAGCCAGUGUGAGGGCUGCUCCCAGGGACAGAGCAAAGCCUUCUCCAUUCUCAGAGGUUUCCACUUCAGUUUCUUAAACCAGGUAGACCAGGCAGUAUUCCCCACCUUGUGCAUUUGUAGUUUCUAACCUUGUUUAAAGCCCUUCAUAAUGGAACCUGAUUUUAAAAACCUAAAAUAAAAUGGGGUCAAGUCCAGAGAGAGAAUAAGAGAACAAUUUAAGAUCAAGGAUGCUCUACUUAAUUUUGGUAUUGAGCAGGUGAAUUCAUUUGAAGUUUGCACAGUGACCUUCAGAGGUGAGGCUGCAAAGGCAAAUUGUGCGCUCCCCCUGCCCCACCACCUGCCUCACCCAACCCUGCCCAGAACGGUUUACUCAAGCCUAGCCUAGGGGGGCACAACCUUAGGCUGCCUCCUCCGCAUGCUUAGAUCCAGCUAGAGCCCCACCCAGGGCCACAGACCUUCAUCCACAUUGUGGCUUCUUCUCCAAAGUACAUUCACCUCACUGAGAACAGCCUUUCCCCUCCUUAGCGUUCCAGACCUUCCACUCAGGCUGACUUAAUGCCACCUGGCCAGAAAGAAACAGAGUGUCCAUUCCCCCUUUUCUAAAACCUUGGUUUUGUGAUCAUUUGAAGCUCUGAGUUUAGGAUCUCUGUAUUAUAAUUUCCUUGGGAUCCCACCUUUGCAGCUAGCCACAAUCCAACUUAAAAGACUCUCUCAGGAGGCCCGUUGAAGAUAACCAAAAACCCCAGUGAUGUAGGGAGCGCACCAGACACACACUUUUAUACCCACCACCUUGUCUUAAGCUGGUUACCAUCAGCUCUUCUGGGAAAAGCUGGGUUUGGAAAAGGAGUUCCCUGAGUGUAUUUCAUAUCACAUCAAGCAAUGGUUCUCAAAGUGUGCUCUCUGGAGCAGCAGCAGCACCAGCAGCUCUGGGGAGAGGCCAGUGCACUCAACUUAGAGAACUACCAAAAUAGUGUAAAAGAUGGGGGAGAAACCCCUCAAGUAUCAAAGGUUAGAAGGCCACAAUAGUGGAGCAUCUGUGCCUGCCAUUUGCAGAACUGUGGAAAGUUUAGGGUGUUUACUGUAUGUUGAAUAAUGAUUCUCUCAAAACUUUUGUGAGUUGUAAACAUAAAUCCCUAGAGAUGCUGAGCAGCGGUAACCUGGCUCUUCCCAUUUUCACCUGCAUACACAUGGCCAGAGCAUCCGCUUAUCCGUCACAACAGGGGAGCUGGAAGGUAAAAGUUAUCUUCUAUCAAUAUAAAGUCUUAGAUUUUUUUCAUUUAUGAAAUUCUUAACACAGUACAUGGCACAGUUACAUUUGAAAGGCUUUUCAUUUCUUUAAUCUGAGCCCAAACCAAGCCCAUUUUAAGGAGAGGAACUAGAGGCAGAUUGAGGAGCCAGCCUGUACUCCAGGGACGAGAGGCAUUAGUUGCUGGAGCAGAGAUUUGAGCUCAGCAAUACUCCCAGACCCACGCUUGCCCUUGCUUUUGAUUUUCUACCUCCCUAAUGAACAAGUGGGGACCAUAAAAGUCAGCUGUGCACAGCUUAGAGCACCUGUGUCUGUCUGAGCAAUGAAAAGCCAUUUGAUUGGCAGUCAACUUGGAGAAACCCUGACCCUAAAAGCUAAUGCCAUAAAGACCACACUGGGCAAUCAUAUCAUUUCAACUUGACAAAAUUUGUUGUACAUUUAUCUCGAGGUGGACUUCUUUUUUUGCUAGUGGUAGGGGUGGAUUUCCUUGUUUUUCUGGUAAUUCUUGCUAGCCACUUACCUUAGAAUUCAUAGGUGGUCAUUUACAUAUUCCUCGUGAAAGCCAUAGCCAAAAAGACCUUUUCAACCCCAAGCAUCUCUCUCUUGGUAGGUACUGGCUUCAGGCAAGUGGCUUCUCUCUUUAAGGAAAUAUGGUAAUUUGAGUGUUUGUCAUUGCUACAUACUCCAUCUCACCAACUGCGGUGAGACUAUCAGGAAAACUGCACAUCACUCUGCUGAAAUUUCAGGAAAAGUUUACAGGUCUCAAUGACAGAGUUGAAGUCAGAAAAUUUCACCUUCAUGUUAAUUUUUGAUGGACAUUUUUAAGGGGAGGGGCAAGAAAAUCGUUUCACCAUUCCCUUUGUUUUCUUAAAAAAAAAAAACUCAGAAGAAACCUCACACACAGACCAUGAGAGAGUUUGAAAUCGCUAUUUUUAAAGGUAUAGCAGGAAAGAAUUUUGAUAGAAAAGUAGAGCAAAAUAAAUAAGCAGUAAAACCUCAUCCCUAACCUUCUCCAGCUGCCUGACAUCCUAGUUUAGUUCUGGAGAGUUGGACCACUGCUCUCUAGUUCCAGGGGGUUGCACAGGAGCCAAAAAUGAAACCAGAGGCUGAGCCCCAACAGAAGAUGAAACUUAGGAGCAGCCUCAGCUCCAGGAAGCCUCACUUUCUGGCACAGCAGAUCUGGGUGCUGUAGAGCCCAGCUAGGGCUAGGCACCUGCCAGCAGUCCAUCAGUCAUGGUCUCAGAUGAGUGGCACCAAGGUGGAGCCCACUGAGGCAAAGGAAGGAUCUGUGAGGGACACCUGCAGCCUGCUGCAAAAAUGUCUGCCCCCCACACCUUGUCUUGCUGCAGCUCCAACUCACAGUUGGAGAAGUGGAAGCAAAGCAAAGCAGCCUGUCCUAGACCACACAGCCUGGUCCUCUGUUUUCAGAGCCAGAGGUCUUUGUGCUCUGGAACGAAGACAGUGACCCCCCACUGACCCACUGGCACUUACUGUGUCCCAGGGACGUGGCCUGUGUCGUCUCGUUUCGGCACAGAGCAGCCCUGGGACUGGGAGCAGUGUCGUCAUUCCCAUUUUUCAGGUGAGGUACAGGCUCAGAAAGGUCACAAAACUUGCUCAUGGUCUCACAACUGGUGAGUAGGUUAUCAGACUCCAAAGAUGUGUGUAGCUAACCCUGCCCAAAGGGACUUCCUCCUCCAUACUUCCUGGGCAGCUCUCCAGAACACCCGCCAACAGGCAACGUAGAUGUGACUGCCUUCAAAGUUUUCUACCUGCCUUCAAGCUUGAAACACUGGAGCCUGAUAGAGAGCACUGGAAGUGGAGGGAAGAGAAAGAGCUAUGCCCUCCUGCAGUGAACCUCCAAGGUCGUUUCCUCAGGCCUGACUCCAACUGGAAGGAGCAGUGUGUGUAUGUGUGUAGGCAUACACGUAUGGAUGUGUGUGCCUGUGUAACUGACUUUGUGACUAUGAAACUGAGUUAAUACUCUUCUGUCUUUGCCUGUUUCUUCUUGCAUAUUGCCUAGAAGGAUACCCAUUACUGUUUAGAGGCACAGAACAAUAGAAAAUGACACUGUUCAAGGACCAAAACUUUCAAAAGACUGCUGACACACAGCAGAGUGUGAAGGCCCCUGGUAAUCCCCUAGGGAUAAGCACUUGACAUUUUUUUAUAAUUUGAAUUUCUUUAUGAUUAUAAAAGUUGCACAUAUUUAAAGACACUUCAAAACAAAAAUAAAUGCUUCAUUGCUCAGGUUACCUUGGUACAUGCAGAGUCUAAGGCCACAUCCAUCAAUGUAACUUGCUGCAUGGAUUACCAGAUCUCCCCACCAUUGACCUCUUGAUUUUUUUACCCAGAGAGCAAACAGAAUGGGCAAGGACUGACCUGAAAUCCUUUUGAAACACAAGCUGGAUCCUAAAGCUUUGACCUCCACUGCUCACUGCCACAUGGAAUCUAUCUCUGUGCCCCACUCCGCCCCAGCCCCAGUUGGCCUUCCUGCUGCUGCUCACACAGGCUACACCAAAGCCCUUUGCACACGCUGUUCCCUGCAGAGGUCUCUCUUCCUCUGAACAAAUGUGGGACCCAUCUCUGCCAAGGCUGGGAAGCAAACAGCCCCUGCUUUGCCUUGCCAGCCUGUGUCUGUACCAUUCCUGUGGUGGCCUCUCCGAGCUACUUUUACAUGGCAUUUGAGCUCUGGGAAGCUGGAAGUUUGUCGAGUCCAUUUCCCUCAUUUUGCAUCUAUGGACGAUAAAGCCCACAGGCGAGGGUUUUGACAAAAGGAAAAAUGCCUUCCACUUGGCAUUGUGACGGAGAGGCUGUCUCAGACAAGCCUGGGAAUUUGGGAUAUAUCUUGCUGAGCCUAGAGACAGAAAAGAGCUUCUAGGCUGCCUUCCCUGAGUCCCGGGCCAGGUCCUUCCAGGACACACUCGCAUGGCACCCUGUUCAAAACACUGCACACUAAUGACUGCAAAGGAUUAACUGACUUUUCAAUAUUCUUGUUUUCUACAAAGUGAAAAGCUUCAGAAGGACAAGGUAUGAGUCUGUUUUGCUCUUUUGCCUCUCCCAGCACAUGGCACAAUGCCCAGCACAUAGUGUUUUGAGAGACAGCUGACUGGCUGUCUCAUACAGGGCCCUGCUCUGUUGGGCACAAGGGCUGCUUAACACAUUCCUAUGCUACAAAAGAUGGGCAGUGCUCCUCUCCUCCAGGAGCCACCAAAUAAAUUCAGAUAGUAAUGCCAGAAAGAGGGUAGUGCCAGCCUGGGGAGAGAGUGGCUUGAUAAGGCACUGCUUCUCUCCACGGAGACAGUGUGGAAUGAUAGGGAUGAUCUAGGACCUAGAGGAGCGACCUUAAAUCUUUCUUGCAGCCAAAAGCCUUCAUACCUGAGCCAGCCAGAACUGUUAGGUCAGAAUUCUCACCCAUGACAAAAAGCCUGGGGGUAUGGAGUCCAGGGUUGAUGCAUUAAUUUAAGGGUGUCAUCAGAAGCUUAGACUUGACCCUUCUGCUGCGCCACCCUUAUCACCUUGUGGUCACAAGAGGGCUACUGCUGUUCAAGUCAUCACUUCCACAUUCCAGAAGGAAGAAAGGAAAAGUAGAGGGGCCAGAAGUAUCCCCUCCUUUUAUCAGGCGGCAUCAGCUUUCCCAGAAACUUCCAUGUCCACCCAGCAGACUCCCACUUAUAUCUCGGUAAGCAGAACUCCUAUCACCUGGCCACGCCAGCAGUCAGGGAAGCUGGAAAGGUGGGCAUUCAGCUAUAGAGAGUGGAAACAAGCAGCAAGGGAAGACAAGUCAGUAACUGCUGUAGAGUUCCCUGGCCAGCAGCAUCUGCCAAAACUACGUAAAUUAUUCAAAAUAAGUGUUUUUGUGGAUUUUCCUAUUACAAAAGCAAUGCAUAUAGAUUGUUACUUUAGAAAAUAAAGAUUUUAAAUCUUCAACAAGCCCAUUACUCAGAAGUGACCACUGUUGUUCCAGGUUUAUUAGCCUUCUAGAUCUUCGUAUUUUUUUAACAUGGAUGGAACCACAAUAUGGGUUGCUCUGAAAUUAGCCUUUGCACGUGGCAUUGUGAAAAAUCUUUCCAAAUCAUUAAAUGUUCUCUGCAGAAUUA